RNAcentral lists this long non-coding RNA (55405 nucleotides) under Brachypodium distachyon (stiff brome). RNAcentral describes it as "long non-coding RNA (BDIS_LNC002140)". The record is from RNAcentral. Lineage: Eukaryota; Viridiplantae; Streptophyta; Magnoliopsida; Poales; Poaceae.
ACCCCAGAAACUCACGCAAAAGAACGACCGGAAAACUGUACGUCGGUCUGUCGAAGAACAGCAAAGGCUGCAGUAAGAAAAAUCUAGAAAAAUAUGGAAAAAUAUGGGUUAGAAGGGUAUCGACACAAGCUUUCCAGCAAGGGCAAGAUCACUCAAAACGGAUGUCGGACAAUGGAGAAAACUGAGAAACACCGGGCUGCAGCGACGCCGGAAAACGGAUGCAGAAACUUGGAAGCUCAGAAAGUCCACCUUACAAACCGAAUUUGGGGGUCAAAGUGCAGGGCAACGCCCUGGAUAUUUCCUGAUGCGCCUCGUCCUGAGCUUUCCAAAAAGUCCAAGAACGUCCAAAUCCGAGUUGGUACGCAAAAGAUACGCCCGUUUUACUGAACACGGGUCAAACCCACCCGAAACUAAAAUUCUACUCGGACUCGGGUCCGAAACUGACUCGAACUCUUUUUUUUUUUCUUUUUUUUUUCUUUCUUUCUUUCCUUUUUUUUUUUCUUUCCUUUCUUUUUUUUUUUCAAAUUUCCAAACAACUUGAUCUCUAAACAAAAUUCGAUCUAUGAUGAAACACUUUCCAAAAGCACUCCUUAUUGGACUCGGACUCGGAUUCGCGGCUGAAAACUAUAACUUGCCGACUCGGUGUAGGACUCGAAGAGGGACUCGGUGUAGGACUCGAUGAGGGACUCGGUGUAGGACUCCAAGAGGGACUCGGUGUAGGACUCGAUGAGGGACUCGGUGUAGGACUCCAAGAGGGACUCGGUGGAAGAUAUGGUGGCGGCGGAAGAUUAUGGCGGUGGUGUGGCAGGAAGUUUGGCGGCGGAAGAUUGAUGAAGGAAACCUGCGUCACACGAAGAACAAGAAAACCAAAAGCAAGUUCGAUCUAGUAGAAAAAAUCUGAAAAACGAUCCAAUCUAAUCCAGCAACUCGACACGAUUAAUGCAGCAAAGAUUCAACAAUGCAAAUACUAAUGUGAAAAUUGCAAGGCUCAGAUUGGUUCUAGGACAAGGUAACUAAUUCUAAUUUUUGUUUGGCUUUUUCUGGACGAUAGGUAAAAACAGAUCUAAACUACGGAUAAACUGGAAAAAUCUCACCGAGCAACCUUAAGCUCUGGUACCACGUGAUACGGGUGCGGGUGGCCCGAUCUUUCGAUGAGAUUGGUAACUCUCGAUUUGGGUAGGAGGUGACGUUGACGAUCCGACUACGGCCUAGGAGGCAGCGCCUUAGCAAUCGAUACACCAACUCCAAAGGGUUAUUGAUCACGCGGGGGCACGAUCAACCUGACCACGAAGGUCUUUGUUCCUGCAAGCAAUCGAAGAACAAGCAAGAACAAGAUAAAUAGCGGAUGCAAUCUAAAAUUGCGAAUAUACUAUAUCAAACCAAUGUCUCAACGAGACGAUAAGUUGGGGUUCCGAAAGCGGUAAAACAGGUGGUCUAACCGACACACGCGAUUACACGAAGUAGUAGCGAUGGCUAACUUUUAACUAAACAAAACCCAAGGCUCCUUAGGGGGGUUCAUGGGGUAUAUAAAGGAGGAGGGAGAGAUAUUUUCGUCCACCUUGAAUAAGGAGUCCGAAAUCCAACUCUAUCUCUAACUUUCCUAACAAACUACAACUCUUUAGGAAACAGAAAAACAGAUCCGUCAGCUUGUUUUGUCCGCCACGGUCAGCACGAGUCGAAUCUCUUGAUGGGGCCAGAUCCGUUGGAAAGGUCUUGUAAUUACCUUUCCAACAAGUACUUGUUUGCUUGAUUUGGACUCCGGAUGCGGCCUGGGUGAUUAAAACAAAUUCGGGUCUCCUGACAGCUCGGACCCGAAUCGGAUUCAACUUUAAUUCGUGAUAUCUUUCUCUAGCAAGCUCCGAAUCAUGUGCCGUUUGAUUUGUUGGAAAGUAGACUUGAUAGGCUUCACUUUGAAUCUCCCUUUGCAGGCUAUAACACUUCAUCUUCACUUUGGACUUGUAAAGUUCAAUAAGAUGCCUACAUAAUAAGAUUACACAAGAUAGUAGCUCCGCCUCUUUGCAACUAACAUAUUGAAAACAUUUUGUAAUUGAAUUCACCUGAUUAUAAUUAUUAGAGACACCAGCAAUUAGGGUUCUAAUGGUCGUAUCCAUGGUUAGCAUGUCCAUAUCAUCCUCCCUUUCUUGAAAGGAAAGCCGUCCUCGGCGUCGUUUAUGCUGAAAAUAUGCUAACAAAAGAGACAAGGUAUGCGCAUGGUAUAUGUAUAUGUCGUCAAUUUUAACUCCACUCCCAUGCUGCACAUUCGAUGUUUCACGUAAAUAAAACUCAUAAUAGUGCAAAAGAUUAAUAGUCAUAUUCCAACGGCAAGUAUCACAUUUUAAUUUGUAAUUCUCAUCAUUAAACCAUACUAAUGUAGGUGAACAAUAAUUCAAAAUUCCCAAAUGGCGAGCUACAAUAUGCGUCAAUGUGCAAUCAUGCCACAAGUUAUUUGUCGUACAACUAUCACCAAUAUUAGAGGUCAUAUCAAAAUGAUUGAGCAUACACAAAAUAUUGUUGUCUCUCAAAUCAAGAAAGUUAUCACAAGCAAUGCAAAUCUGAUGCACCAAAACUUUAUUGUUGACAUCAUGUUCUCCAAUUAAUUGAAUAGUGUAUCCAUGGGCAUUAGCAAAAGAUUUUGAAAUUGUUAACUCAGAAACUUUAUCCAUUGCAUGUGACAAAUAUAUAGGUGUAUCAAGUGUAAUAUAACACAAAGAAUUAAUAGGUGGAUCCUUAUCAAUCACUCCAUGUCUAAUCAACUCGACACAACCUAAAUCAAAUUUAUCUAUCUCAUUUGUUUCGCCCAAAACAUUAGUUAUUUCCUCACAUGAUUCGUUCUCAUCAAAAUCAAAAUUAAUUUGUGCACUCAAAUCAUUAGAAAAAUUAAUUUCAGCAGUAGGUACACUUGAAUCACCAUGUACGACAAUAAUUUCACAUGGUGCAGAAAAUUCAACAGGUAUCACAUUUAUUUCAUCACAUGCCCUUUUUAGUUCAGCAACACAAUCCUCUGUGUCACUACCUUGUGGGCUCGACUCAUUUGUAGUAGACCCUCGCUGUAAUUUCCUCUCAACUUUACGAGCAAGAUUAAGCAAACACAAAAGAGAGUCGUAUUUUCCGUAUUCAAUUAUGUAAGAAAUAUCAAAGUUAAGCCCACAAUAAAACCUAUCCAUUUUUCUUUGUUCGGUUUCAUCUAAACCAGAUCGCAAGGUUAAAAUUUGGAACUCAUGGUAGUAAUCCUCAACAGUUUUAUCAUCUUGUGUCAAACGUCGUAAUUUGGAACGCAACUCAUAAGCAUAACUUGGAGGAACAUAUUUUUCUCUCAUGAUUUUCUUCAUAUCAAUCCAAGUGUGAGGUAUUUUGUUUUCUCCAACUAUCUCACUCCACCAUGAUAAUGCAUCAAAACGAAAUCUACUACUAGCAAUUUGGACCUUACGACUAUCUAGUACAUGGAAGCAUGUGAAUUGCUCAAUUAGAGCUAUUUCCCAAUCAAUAUAAGCUUCAGCAUCAUUAUUUCCAUCAAAGAAAGGUCCAAAACAAUUAGUGACAUUACAAGGAUUGCGAUAUACCUUUUCCUUGCCAAUGUCAACAAGAGACGAGGAGGAUGGAUGUGGUGAAAAACGCUCAUGUCGGUCACUUGAUAGCAUAGGUCUAUUUUCCAUCCUUUGUGUAAGUCCUGUCAUGGUGUCCGGGUGGCCCGAUCUUUCGAUGAGAUUGGUAACUCUCGAUUUGGGUAGGAGGUGACGUUGACGAUCCGACUACGGCCUAGGAGGCAGCGCCUUAGCAAUCGAUACACCAACUCCAAAGGGUUAUUGAUCACGCUGGGGCACGAUCAACCUGACCACGAAGGUCUUUGUUCCUGCAAGCAAUCGAAGAACAAGCAAGAACAAGAUAAAUAGCGGAUGCAAUCUAAAAUUGCGAAUAUACUAUAUCAAACCAAUGUCUCAACGAGACGAUAAGUUGGGGUUCCGAAAGCGGUAAAACAGGUGGUCUAACCGACACACGCGAUUACACGAAGUAGUAGCGAUGGCUAACUUUUAACUAAACAAAACCCAAGGCUCCUUAGGGGGGCUCAUGGGGUAUAUAAAGGAGGAGGGAGAGAUAUUUUCGUCCACCUUGAAUAAGGAGUCCGAAAUCCAACUCUAUCUCUAACUUUCCUAACAAACUACAACUCUUUAGAAAACAGAAAAACAGAUCCGUCAGCUUGUUUUGUCCGCCACGAUCAGCACGAGUCGAAUCUCUUGAUGGGGCCAGAUCCGUUGGAAAGCUCUCGUAAUUACCUUUCCAACAAGUACUUGUUUGCUUGAUUUGGACUCCGGAUGCGGCCUGGGUGAUUAAAACAAAUUCGGGUCUCCUGGCAGCUCGGACCCGAAUCGGAUUCAACUUUAAUUCGUGAUAUCUUUCUCUAUCAAGCUCCGAAUCAUGUGCCGUUUGAUUUGUUGCAAAGUACACUUUAAAUCCUUCCCUCUCAGCUGUAUGAAUGCUUGAUUCUUGUUGGCCCUCCCGUUCGCCUCCAUCGUAUCUCAUCUUGACCUUGGACUUGAAAAGCUCGACAAGAUGCCUACGUAAUAAAACGAGACAAGAUAGUAGUAGCUCCGCCUCUUCAUAAAUAUGACAAUGAAAACAAUUAGUACUUGAAUUCACCUGAUUAUAAAUCUUGUCAAAUAUUAUAGAAUUGAGGGCACCAAAGGUCGUAUCCAUGGUUAGCAUGUCCAUAUCACCUCGCCGGCGCCGUUGCAUACCUCCGUGCCGACGACCUCUUCUCCGGCCGCCUGCAUGAGCCCCGCAUCCACGUCCUCACCCAUGUGCAGCUGUUGUCUUCGCUCCGCCACCCUCUGCUCGACCUUGCCGCCAGCAGCACCCCUGCCUCUUCUCUCGAGGCCGCCCGCUACUCCAGCAAGCUGGCCGCGACUCCCUCGACCCGCCGGUGCUCGCCCGUGUACCUCGUCGCCGUCUGCAACCUCCCUCCGGCCCGGCUGGGCACACAGGCCCAGGCCGAAGACCAUCUCCAAAACCCAGGCCCGUGCCCUCUUUUCCCUCUUUUCUUCUUUUUCUGGAAAUUGCUAAUUCUUGACGUGUGGGCCCUAUUGGCCAGCGCCUCUCUGCUGUUGUACUUGGCUUUGUGUUGUUGCUGUGAUGCUGUUGGCGCUGCCCUGCGUGUGCUUCGCCGUGCCGCUGCCCAAUACCUUGUUGUGGACCGCGGAGAUCGACGACUGACGAACCCCGAAGAUGGAGCCUUGAACGACUACUUCGCCGCGACGACUACAUCGCCUACGUGAACAGCUAUUUCGCCUACGACGGCUACAUCGUGUAAAACUACAUCAACUACUUCCUCUACAUCGCGACACCGCACUUGUCCAAGGUAUAACGAGCGACCGUCCCGUGAACCGACUGUUCUUCGGCGUAGACCCGUAGGUUGCGAUCGAUGACAUUCAUGUGUUGUAUGAGAUGCCCGUGAUUGUACCGAUAGUAUUAGUUGCAGGUACGUCAUUGUCACCGGCGUGUGCAACCCCGACCUAGUCGGAUCUUUGUGUUAUUCUAGUUAAAGCAUGCACUUGCACCUAUUGAUGUCAUUGUCAUGCAUGCUAAUACAACUAUAACAUUGUUGUGUGUAUUUAAUCAAUUAAACUCUAUUCCUUGCAUAUGGAGUUGUAUAGAAGUUAUGUGUAGUAUUUUCGGACUCCAUUUAACUUGGUAAAAUAUAUAUCGGAUUCACUUUCGGAAUCCUUAAUAUGACAUAAAUCAUCCCUAUGUCAUGCAUCAUUCUUUGAUUGCGCAUAUUAAUUACCAUGUGUACCUUGUAUGCUUAUACUUUCCUUUUAUGUCGUGUAUUUGCUUCUUCCUCGCUAGUCUUUGGUUCCUACGACGACGAUUACACUUGUGUUCUUCUUCCAGGAUUCUUACUCAAUUCCGGGCAUUAAGUUACGAUCUCAGUCUUGUCACGAUGCCAUUAGGAUUGCAUAGCUUAUUAGUCAGUUCCACUUAUUGCCUUAUGUCUUGUUACUUGUCCUAAUACCAUGUCACAUGUUUGUUGUUUCCCUACAUUUUGGUCAUUAGAUGUCAUGCUUAGUUGCGAGUCUAGUGUCCUUAUAUCUGGGGUUCCACAAUUGCUAUUGUCGCACCAGUGGCACCCGGAGUACCACCGUUGCGCGACGCGUGGGCCCUGUCUCCGAGUUCCCGGGAGGACUUUGUCCCGGGCAGCAGCCAUGAGCAGCCCGGCAAGCUACCAGCCCGGAAGGGCUAGCGGGGCUUCGGGGAAUAUUCCCGCCUGGACACCUCCCGGGAACCCACUUGCCGGGAGAGGGGUUGCUGGGCGUGUCGGGCCUGGGUGCCUCCUGGGAAGCCACUUGCCGGGAGGAGGCGUUCCCGGGCGUAGGCUCCCCCCGCGAGGGAGGGGGCCCAGCGGGCCGAGCAACAGCGCCAUGUGGGCGCAUGCCGGGCGUCAAGUACGCAGUCUCGGUAGGGCCAGGAGUGAAGCGCACGGUGCAUUAAAUGAGGCGACAGGAGGGGCAUUACCCGUCCAUAUCAGGUGAAUAGUAGCUGUCCAAUCCUACCUUUAGGGUUUUAGACCCCUGGCAGCGGAGGUGGCAUCCAUGCACGCCACCAGCUCACCGAGGGGGAGUUGCAUGUCUCCCUGAUCGACACUUGUAAUGCAUGCCCGCGGCACCUGUGGUAUCCCCUUCAGUAUAAAAGGAGGACCCUCGUCGACAGCCAAAGGGUUCGAGGAAAAACAGGGUUUCACGGUUCACAAUCUGACGGGUAGAUGGACUCACACUUAGCCAUUAGCAGUACCCUAAAGCAGUGAAGAGCACUUAGCCAAAAAGAGAACGCCCGGGGGACCCUCCCCCCCGGCAACGUGUAAACACUUGAUCUAUAGUCAAUACAAGUUCAGACAAGCAGGACGUAGGGUUUUACACCUCCGGGUGGCCCGAACCUGGGUAAAAACGUGUGUGCAUGUGUUCUUAGCUUGCAUGCAUCCUGGGUACACUACUUUGCAGGUUACAUACGCCAUCGGCCACGCUGGAGAUUGCCGGAGCGAACCCCGACGCCCCUGCCAAACCUAAAAAGGGGGCAUGACCGCACGCCCCUGGUGUCGGAGCCCCGUGCGACGACAUCUAGCGCGAGAGGACAGCUUGCCGGUGACCGCCGGCAGCGGUGUUUGCAUCGACGUCGGCUUCGUCUUCUUCACCGACAGGACCGGCCACCAUGCCCCCCAAGCGUGCUGGUGACCCUUGGAUAGACUCACGUGAGGCCCCAGCGGCACACACGCGGUCGCAUGACGUGCGACCCACGUCGGGGGCUCAGGAGAAUCCGGAGCCCUCGAGAGUGCAGCAAUCACAGCUGCCUCCCCCGCCUCCUCGGCCAUCUGCAGACAAUCGGCUGAGGGGACCAGCGGCCCCUAGUGCCGAGGCCAGCUACGCGAGCGGGCAUGGUGCCGCCCGCACUGGUGUAACAGCCGAGAGCAACUUUUACAUUUAAGCCCUUGUUUGGACCUGUUUGUAAUUUAUUCAAAUGCUGCAUGACAAUUACAUUUGCAUCCAUGCCAUGCCAUGUCUGUUGUUUGUGUCACAUGAGUUUUAUAUUUGCAUCUCAAAUUGUGGUUUGAAUUCUUGUUGUGUAUUUUUGUUAGAAGAUUCAAAUAUGAAUCACCCUCCUUUGAGUUUGAAUUCUUUUCCCUCUAUUUUUUCAAAUGAGAUUCAAAUGGGUUUUGCUUUAAACCUUAAACCCCAUUUGAAUAUUUCCAAAUACUAGUACCAUAUUUGAAUUCUACUACUUCUCCGCUUUUCAAUAUGGUAUUUGAAAUUUGAGUCCAAAAGCAUUUGCAAAAACAGAAAAUAGAAAAGGGAAAAAGAAAAAAUACAAAACCUUACCUGCUCACUUGGCCCGAGCUGACCCUACCGCCUCGGCCCGCCUUCCUCCCGCGCGCGCGAGCAAGCCACCCCGCAGCGCCGGCCUCGUGGCCCCCUUCCCCGCGCAGCCCCGCCGCCCAGCAUUCUUCUGCGCGCUCUCGCUUCCCGUCUCCCCGCAGUGAAAGCGUAAAAUCCCAGAAUGCACUUUGUCUCACAGCUCUCUCUUCUACCUCUGCUUUUCUUCCUUCCGACCGGUGAGCCCCCCCGGCCACGUCGUCUUCGAUAGCGACAGCCACGCCUCCCCCUCGCCUACUUAAGCCGCGCCGCACCUCCUCCUGCCCGCGCCGCCUCUAGGAAACCCUAGUUAGGGUUUUCUCCUUCCCCUUCUGCGCAGCGUCAUCGCCCCGCUCCUUCGGCCGUGGACGCCACCGCGUCGCGCCACCGUCUCCGGCUGAACGGCGGCAAGCCGACCGCGUCACCCGAACCGCGUCGACGCUUGCUAUGUCUACGUGCGAGGAAUUGGACGGAGGACACCUACAUCAACGCCUAGGUCGUCUUCCCCAUCUUCGGCCGCCGCCUCUUCUCCGACAAAUUCCGGCGAGGUCGUCGACUCUUUCCUCGUCCGCUUCCUCCUGAAGAUCCGGGGUGAGAUGUUCUUCCUCCUGCCUCUUUCCGCGCUGCUUUUCAUGCACCGUAGCACCGUACCCGCAAGCGCGCGCUCCGCCGUGCGCCGGCAAGCUUCGGCUCGCCGCCGCGCCGUCGUCUCCUUAAGGAUGCUGUGAUGGCGUUCGUGCCAUCUAGACUCUCUCCGCGCGCCGCUUCUGUUUUUCCUUGUUAGGGAGCCCCUACGCCGCUAGCUUGGUCGCCGGCUUCCAUGCUCGCCGUGGCCACCGCGCGUGCUCCCAAGCCGCUCGCUUGGGCUGAGUUAAGAGGGCUUGCGCCCGGGAUCUUGUAAGAUCCGAACCGCAGCCCGCCUGGUUACCUUGCUCGUCCGUUCGCUUCACACCGACCCGACCCGGGUUUGAUCCCCCGCGCCGCGCGGAAUAAAACCCCCCUUUUUAACAUCUGUCCGAGAUUGAAAGGUGGCCCGGUCAGUCAGCGAACGCGGGCUCCCAUCCGCGUCAGCGCCACGUCAUCGAGGUUCUGGUCCCGUUUGUCAGUGACCGUGGCUAGCUCCCCUUCAGUGUAAAUUGUUUUGAUUGUUUGUUUUCUUUUAUAAAAUCCCAGAAAAUGCUUUGAUCUUGUUUUAUUUGUAGAAUAUUCAUUCUAGGUCCAAAUAAUACAAAGUCUGUAUGUUUUGGAAUCAGAAAAAUGCAAGGAAUUUAACUGUGCAACUAGAUUUACAUUUUGAGGUUUCAAAAUUUAAAUCUGUCCCAGAUUUGAAAUUCAAAAGUAUGAACUUGUUUAGUCUCUAGUUUAAAAUUGUUAACUCUUCUGUGGAUAGUGUAAACAUCAAAGUUGAUCAAUGUAACUUGUAGAACAUAGUAGCAUACCUGGUUAGGCCAUUUGUGUAUUUUAAAGCUGUUGUUUACCAUGUUCUAGUCACCUAAUGGUUAAUUUUGUUGCUAAAUGGAAUCAUUUUCACUUGCAUCUUGUUGCAUCAUGUUGUCACAUGCCAUCUCAUGUUGUAUUGUGCAUUGCACCUACGAAUUGUUACUUAUUUGCGUAUUGUGUGAUUUGGAUCUUUACGUUAGCGACUCCAACUUACUCCGUCGACGAUCCGGGUUCCCACACUUCUUCGGAUCCCCUCUCUCGGUGCCCAGCGACCGAGAAUCCAGGCAAGCAGCCAUUCCUUGAACAUGUUGAUUAUACCAAUGCCUCUCUCUCAUUCUUGCAUUAAGUUACGUUCUCGGUUCUUGUCACCAUGCUUCUAGGACUGCAUAGCUUUAGUCAGCUCUACUCAAAUGCCUGUUGUCUUGUUCCUUAUCCUAUAACCAUGUCACAUGUUUGUUAUUGCCCUAGUUGGUCAUUAGAAGUUGCUAGUCUAGUGUCCUUACUUGGGGUUACACAAUUGCUACAUCCACAUGCUACUUUUCUGUAUUUAAUUGCAAUUCUUUAAACUGUGACUUGUUAUUACCUGCACAAGGCAACGAUGGGAGACCGUGCUAACGCAUUGGUGUUUUGUUCCAUUGGAGUCGACCUAAGGACUGAGUUCUCGUUUUCGCCGACCCAAGAGGCUCACCUCUCAUGGGAGAAUAUAUGGGUUCCCCCUCGGCUUAGUACUUGUUUCAUAGCUCUUCUAGGGCCACAUAGUUCAGGCAUUUCAUUUGGCAUAUCGUAUAUACACUGGUGUUGUGUUUGGAGACUUGUUGAUACUUUGCAUACAUAUAGGAUUGCGGCACUAGUCUGGAGUGGUCAUUCUGCGGACACUGAACCACUACCAGCUGUCCACGCAACUCUUGAGUCCGUACAACGCUUCGGCCGGGCUCUCGUUUUGGAUUAGACUCAGUUGGGUGGUCCCCUGGAUUAGUUGUGGGGCUUGGAAACGUCGUGUCGCUCAAUCCUGCCGGCACAUGCUUUUGCGUGUGUUUCAUGCUAGUGGCGUCAAGGGUAGGACGAACGUGUACGGGUAAAUUGGCACACCCUGCAGGGAUAAAUCUUUCGGAAAGCCGUGUCCGCUGUCAUGGACGACUUGGUUGGUCAUUACUUGAUCAUAGAGAACUCAUACCAAUUGAUUAACUUACUUUCCUAAAUCUGAGUAGUACUUAGCCUUAAUCAUGGAUAUGCUUAAAACUGCUUAAGUGUGAGUUUCCUUUGGAUUGCUUCCUCAAAGGGUGUUGAGGGGGUGAUAUGAGGUUUGUGUUGUUUGGUGUUUAGUAAAUAGGUUAAUCACCUCACUUGGUAGACGCUCCUUAUCCUCAUCUAGACGAUGUCAUUAGCGUGUCUCUCCAGAUAUAUCGCUGCUGCAUAACCCACCUUUUAUUCAUCCUUUGAGACUUGUUGCAUAUCUAGUUUAGAUCUCUCGUAAGUCUUGCAAGUACUUUGUACUCAGUUGGUUUGCAACGUUGUUUUCUCCAGAGUUUCCGGAGGAACAGGUGAGUGGUUACUUCGUGGAGUUUGACGACGACAGCUUCGACGUUUAGCCAGAAGAUACCAGAGCAGGGUUUUGUGAACUUGUGGUGGCUCUCCUUUACAGUUUCAGCCUCUUAGGCAAUAAUUGUAACUUGUCCGUACUCGGGCCUAAUUUGCUUCUGCUGGUGUAAUGAUGAUUGUGGGCAUGUGUCCGUGAGUUGUAAUAACUUGGUAUUUUGCUCUAUGUAUGAGCUUGACUUAAUUCUUGUGUCUUAGAGUGAUGUAAUGAUAUCAUUGUUGUUCCAACCUGCGGUGAACACAUUGCGUGUAUGUUGUGAAGUGUUCAUCGUAGGGGGGCACUGGGGCUUGAUUUAUGCGCGAGUUAGCAUUUGGGGCUAAAUUGCAUAAAUCCAGUCCCGGGGUCUCACAAUUUGGUAUCAGAGCCUCGCUGCCCUUAGGUUUCUCCCUGGUUAGAAAUGGUCAAAGUUGAGUCUAGUAACUAUUUUCAUCUAUAAACUCAUGAGGCAAAUCGGUUUCUGAUACCAGCCGGAGUACACGGUAUUUGAGGAUUACCGUGACUUCAACCAGGAGUAUCUACCGUGCCGUUGUCUGCCUCCACCAAGACGUGCCUUCAGAAAAGUUUCCGGUGCACAAAGCAAUGGGAACUGGGCAUACCAUCGAGUUGGCAAUCCAACAGGUGGCGUACAUGUGCGUGACCCUACUCCACAGGAAGUACGAAAGGCUGGACAAAGGACCGUUCAAGCAUAUCCCAAGAGGCUUCAUCACAUGCGAGAACAAGUUCUUCACACUUCCAGGCUUCCCGAUGAGAAGGUUGCGAAUGACAGCUAUGAUCUCUGCAACUUCGUGUCAAGCCAGGAGCCCAUGAUGGCAAACAUGCGCGCCGAGAUCGUCCACUACCGCAAGCAGCUGUGGAUAGCACUUGGUCACCUCUCCGCCGUGGUUGAUGCAGGAAUGUACGAGAAUGAAGUUCGCUAUCCUCCAAGACCUCCUGCUCAUGAGGGACUCCAUGCGUUUCCAGUGGAUGGGUUUACUCCAGCACGUGGUCCACCAAGAGUGUAACAUCCCAAAAUUUUCAAAUACGGAUGUUCGCACCUUUUCAUUUCUUAUGCAAUAUUGGUGUUCGUUAUGAUGCAUUAUUGAAAGUGUUUGAAAUGGUGUUUUGGAAUGUUUUAGGUUGAUAGAAAUUGAUUUGAGAAUUUUCUAGAAUUUAAAAAUGCAUUCUAGGAUUUUAUUUGGAUUUAUUUAAAGCUUAAAAACCUUAAAACUAUUUUUGUUAAUUUAUUUUUGAGUGGGAAUAAUUUUCCUGGACUCUAAAUGAAAUAUACUAUUUUACAUAACUUUUUGCAAUUUUUCUGAUGCCAUUUGAUAUUUUAAAUGAUUUUAAUGGAAUUUCGGGUUAAUUAUAGAUCUUGAAAAGUAUUUAUUAAUCCUUUUCUUUUAUUCUUUUUCUUUUUCCUCCGGAAAUACGCUUUCUCCACAGGAAAACGUAUUCUUAGUGGGUAGCCUUAUUCGCAGUAGUUCUUCUUGUUGUCCGUAGUAUCAUUUUAGUUGUUUCUUUCUGUAGAUUGAACUUUAGGAACACCCCUUCACAGCCAUUUCCUAGUUGGACCAUUUCAACUUCACCUUCACUAGCAGCACGACGGUAGAAGUUCACAUAUCCUAUUCUGUUCUGUUUUAGAGUAGCCAUAUUCACCUGUUCAUAGCUACUGCCUCAUAUCUCCAUAGUUAGUGAAACCAGUGCCAUUUGAAAGAGUAGAUCAUAUUCUUGGAUUCCUUUGUUUAUUUCUCUGUCAUUGGAAUAGUUUAGCACCAGUAGCUUUUCAGUAGAAGUUAGUAUUCUUUGUCUGUCAGGAUCUGACUAGCCACUUUUGCAAGCUAGUAACUUUUGAUCUAUUUAUCAUUUUGACCUGAAACCUGCUGCGUUAGUUAGUAUAAUCUUAGUAAUGUACUGUAGCAUAUGUUUCAUGCCAUGUUCUGUACUUUAGCACCUUUUACCUGUCAACCCUAGUUGCAAUCUGUUAACAGUAGCAGAUUACUGAAUUUUCAGACUUAGCCACACUAGCCUUAACCUUAAGCUUUAGAACUUGAAUUGUUAAUACUAUGGUAUUACUUAGAUGACAUUUAGGUUCUGUUUUUGUAUGCUUGUGAUACAUCCUUUAUCCGAAGUUCAUUUGGAGUCAUAUUUGGAUUUUGAGAGAUGUUUGGAACUAUGCAUUUAUUGUUGUUUCGUUCUUCAUGUUAGAUUAUUCGGAUUGCGAUUGCAACGAGUGCCAGGGAGUUGAUGACCGCAACAACUUUUCUGAACCAGGCAAGUUACACUUAUUGAUCAUGUAGUACCUAUAUUUUUGCUUAUGCUAUUUUGUUUACAACAUCAUAGGGAUGCAUGUUAGAGUUACUUUUAUAUGAAGUAUGUUUAAAUGCGUUUGCAACAUGUUUAGUUAUUCCUAGUAGAUUGCUUAUAGGAUUUUAUUACCAUGCCACCAAAUACCAUAGAUUAUGUAUUUACAUUUUUCCAAAGCAUUCUAUACUAUUAUAACGGGACGGGACCCAAACUAUAUUGAAAAGUAUUAAGUGCUCUUUAUGAGCGAGUAUGUUUUUGGAAAAAUGUUUUCGAAAUAAGAACAAAAUGUAAAACCAGCAAGUCAAUCAGGGCAACAAUGCAAACAGUGGAGCUAAUGACAGGGUUUCCAUCAAGGAGUUUCUUGCUCUCAAUCCAAGGACUUUCUCUCUACCUUCAGAACCACUUGAUGCUGAUGACUGGCUUCGUGAGAUGGUUUGCGCUCUUUAAACGGCUCGUGUGGCAAAUGAGGACAAGGUUCCUUUUGCGAGCUACCUCCUCCGAGGUGAAGCAGCCGCAUGGUGGGAGAAUUUCCAAGCCUCCAAGCACCCUGAUGAAGUCAUCACUUGGUUUGACUUCCAGGACGCUUUCCUAAAGCACCACAUCCCAGCUGGUCUGAUGGACAGAAAGCGUGAGGAAUUCUGCAGUCUGACUCAGGGCAAGAGUUCUGUUCUGGAAUACUGCAAGGAUUUCAACCGUCUUGCUCGCUAUGCUGGCGAUGAGAUCUCUACUGACUUGAAGAAACAAGAAAGGUUUCGUAAGGGUCUGAAUCCGUCGGUGAAGUAUGCUCUCAAUCUCAUUAGGUGCAAUUCUUUUGAAGACUUGGUCAAUACUGCUCUGCAAGCUAAACAUGGCCGUGCACAGUUUGAGGAUUCUCGCAAAUACUCUCGUGAUACUGGGUCUUCUUCCUCAGGCAAUAACAAUGCUGGUUCUCAAAAACGGAGGUUGUGGGUUCCCAACAACGCAACUGUCCGUCCAGCAUAUGGUCAGAGGAAUGGUGGUCAAGGUUCCCGCCCACCCUCCCAGGCUGUCUCUCUCAAGAGCUACAAUGGGCAGCAAAGACCUCAAAUCAGAACAGUGACACCAGAGUCUGUUACAAGUGCAAACAGCCAGGCCACAUUGCUACACACUGCCCUAUGAAUCAGAUUCAGGCAGCACCUCGCCCUCCUCCAAGCCAGGCGAUGGUUCCAGCUCAGGGUAAUCAGCAAAGGCCUUAUGACAACAACAAGUCCAAUGCCAACCGUGCCCGUGUCAAUCAUGUCAAUGCUGAGCAAGCAGAGGAAGCUACCGACGUUGUCAUCGGUAAUUUGCAUGUUAAUUCUGUUCUUGCUAAAGUAUUAUUUGACACUGGAGAGUCGCAUUCUUUCGUUUCGCACUCCUUUGCACAAGCAAUUGACUUGCAACAUGACACUUUGCUUACCCCUGUUCUAAUCCAAACCCCUGGGUCCCGGUCUAGGACAACUAGGAUAAGUUGUGGCACACGAAUCCAAAUCGGCAGUCUUGUCUUCUUCCCGACCUCCUAGCCCUCGGUCCCUCUGACAUUGAUGUCAUUCUAGGGAUGGAUUGGCUCAAACCUCAUCAAGCUUUGAUAGACUGUGCUGCUAAGUCUGUCAUUCUAACACAUCCCACUGGCCAGAUAGUCACUUUCCACUCUUCUAAGGCCACAAACACCUAGCUCUACUCUCUAGACGCAAAGCCACUUCCCACUUUGGAAUCGGUUAAGGUGGUUUGCGAAUUCCCGGAUGUUUUUCCUGAAGACUUACCAGGCAUGCCUCCUGACAGAGCGGUUGAGUUUGUGAUCGAACUCGAACCAGGAAUUGCUCCUGUUCAUAGGCGUCCAUACAAGAUGUCUCCACCCAAGUUGGCAGAACUCAAAAGACAACUUGAAGACUUGGAGAAGAAAGGAUACAUCCGUCCAAGCUCCUCUCCUUGGGGUUGUCUGAUGCGGGUGCGGGUGGCCCGAUCUUUCGAUGAGAUUGGUAACUCUCGAUUUGGGUAGGAGGUGACGUUGACGAUCCGACUACGGCCUAGGAGGCAGCGCCUUAGCAAUCGAUACACCAACUCCAAAGGGUUAUUGAUCACGCGGGGGCACGAUCAACCUGACCACGAAGGUCUUUGUUCCUGCAAGCAAUCGAAGAACAAGCAAGAACAAGAUAAAUAGAGGAUGCAAUCUAAAAUUGCGAAUAUACUAUAUCAAACCAAUGUCUCAACGAGACGAUAAGUUGGGGUUCCGAAAGCGGUAAAACAGGUGGUCUAACCGACACACGCGAUUACACGAAGUAGUAGCGAUGGCUAACUUUUAACUAAACAAAACCCAAGGCUCCUUAGGGGGGCUCAUGGGGUAUAUAAAGGAGGAGGGAGAGAUAUUUUCGUCCACCUUGAAUAAGGAGUCCGAAAUCCAACUCUAUCUCUAACUUUCCUAACAAACUACAACUCUUUAGGAAACAGAAAAACAGAUCCGUCAGCUUGUUUUGUCCGUCACGGUCAGCACGAGUCCAAUCUCUUGAUGGGGCCAGAUCCGUUGGAAAGGUCUUGUAAUUACCUUUCCAACAAGUACUUGUUUGCUUGAUUUGGACUCAGGAUGCGGCCUGGGUGAUUAAAACAAAUUCAGGUCUCCUGGCAGCUCGAACCCGAAUCGGAUUCAACUUUAAUUCGUGAUAUCUUUCUCUACCAAGCUCCGAAUCAUGUGCCGUUUGAUUUGUUGGAAAGUACACUUGAAAUCCUUCCCUCUCAGCUGUAUGAAUGCUUGAUUCUUGUUGGCCCUCCCGUUCGCCUCCACCGUAUCUCAUCUUGACCUUGGAUUUGAAAAGCUCGACAAGAUGCCUAUGUAAUAAAACGAGACAAGAUAGUAGUAGCUCCGCCUCUUCAUAAGUAUGACAAUGAAAGCAAUUACUACUUGAAUUCACCUGAUUAUAAAUCUUGUCAAAUAUUAUAGAAUUGAGGGUACCAAAGGUCGUAUCCAUGGUUAGCAUGUCCAUAUCAUCCUCCCUUUCUUGAAAGGAAAGCCGUCCUCAGCGUCGUUUAUGCUGAAAAUAUGCUAACAAAAAAGACAAGGUAUGCGCAUGGUAUAUGUAUAUAUCGUUAUUUUCAACUCCACUCCCAUGUUGCACAAUUAAUGUUUUAUAACACAAUCUCAUGAGAUAAUUAGUCACACAAUCAUCAUGAAUAUCAUUCCAGCAAGAAGAUUGACAAUAUGUUUUGCAUAUAUAAGUGAAACAAUAUCUUGUAUUUGGUUUGCACCGCUCACCAUUAUACCAUCCCAACACUGGAGAAUAAUAAUUAAUAAUGUUACCCAAAUUAGUUACUACAAGAUGCUGAAAUUUAGAGCAUGUCAAAGCACUAAUAUUCGAACAAUCGUGUAAAGAACUAAUUGGCAAAUAAUCAACACCAAUAUUGGAGGUCAUAUCAAAAUGGUUAAGCAUAUGCAACAUAUUAUUUUCUCUCAAAUCAAGAAAGUUAUCACAAGCAAUGCAAAUCUGAUGCACCCAAAAUUUAUUGUUCACGUCAUGUUCUCCAAUUAAUUGAAUAGUGUAUCCAUGGGCAUUAGCAAAAGAUUUUGAAAUUGUUAACUCAGAACCUUUAUCCCUUGCAUGUGACAAAUAUAUAGGUGCAUCAAGUGUAAUAGAACACAAAGAAUUAUUAGGCGGAACCAUAGGAAACACUUCUUCAUGUUUAAUUAAUUCAAUGCAACAUAAAUCAAAUUUAAUCAUCGCGUCACAAGUCUGUUCCAAAACAGCAGGUAACUCAUCACAUAAAUCAUUAUCAUUUGAAUCAAUGGGUGCGCUCAAAUCGGCAAGUAAAUCAACAGUUUUACAAGGGGCAGCAUGGUCAUCACAUAUCUCAUUUAUUUCAACACACGUCAUAUUUAGUUCAGCAACACAAACCUCUGUAACAUUACCUUGUGGGCUCAACACGUUUCUUGUACACCUUCUCUCCAAUUUCCUCUCCGCUUCACGAGCAAGAUUAAGCAAACACAAUAGAGAGUCGUAUUUUCCGUAUUCAAUUAUGUAAGAAAUAUCAAAGUUAAGCCCACAAUAAAACCUAUCCAUUUUUCUUUGUUCGGUUUCAUCUAAACCAGAUCGCAAGGUUAAAAUUUGGAACUCAUGGUAGUAAUCAUCAACAGUUUUAUCAUCUUGUGUCAAACGUCGUAAUUUGGAACGCAACUCAUAAGCAUAACUUGGAGGAACAUAUUUUUCUCUCAUGAUUUUCUUCAUAUCAAUCCAAGUGUGAGGUAUUUUGUUUUCUCUAACUAUCUCACACCACCAUGAUAAUGCAUCAAAACGAAAUUUACUACUAGAAAUUUGGACCUUACGACUAUCUAGUACAUGGAAGCAUGUGAAUUGUUCAAUUAAAGCUAGCUCCCAAUCUAUAUACGUUUCAGCAUCAUUUCCCCCCUCAAAGAAAGGUAAUUUAAUUGUAUUAGAAGGAUUGUUUUGUACCGUUGCCAUGGCAUUAUCAACAAGAGGCGUCGAGGAUGACCGUUGUGAAAAGCACUCAUCGCGGUCACGGGAUAGCAUCGGUCUAGUUGCCAUGCUUCGUGUAAGUCCUGUCAUGGUUAGUAGAAAACAAGAAACAAAUCACAGUAAUAUGUUCCUAUCAACUACUAGGAUGUGGCUACAAGUCGCUCAACUCUCAAGCUAAAAAUCAAGUUCUUACAAGUUCUUACAAGUUCUUACCAUGCAAAACAGGAAGGUGAUGGCCAGCGGCGUAACCAACACCUCCGGAGAUUAAAUGUAUCGAUGCCUCAGUAACAAACCAACCUAGGUGUAGAAUCUGUGGAGCUUGGAGGCUUUUGUGAGUAGCAAGGAAUAGCAAAUAAUCAAAUCAGCAAUGCAAAGUUGAAAAUAUGCUCAAUAAUGCUAGUCCUAGCUGCUGGAGUCGACAAGAACGAAUUACAGAAAUUAACUAAGCCUAGAUACUGAAAAAAGUAGAAAGGAAAGAUCAAAUGAAAGGUAAAACAAGUAAAUCUCUAGGGAAUAUUUUUUUUCUCUUUUUUUUUCUUUUUUUUUUGGCCUUCUGUUUGGCUUCUUAUUCUUUUCUAUUUUUUUUUCUUUUUUUUUAUCCCCAGAAACUCACGCAAAAGAAGUUAAGACCGGAAAGCUGCACGUCGGUCUGUAGGAGAAUAGCAAAGACUGUAGUAAGGAAAACUCAGAAAAAUAUGAGAAAAUAUGGGUUAGAAGCGUAUCAAAAAAAGCUUUCCAACAAGUGCAAGAUCACUCGAAACGGAGGUCGGACGGUGGAGAAAACUGAGAUAUACUGCGCUGCCCCGGUGCCGUAAAACGGGUGCAGAAAUUUGGAGCUCGAAAAGUCCACCUUAGAGGCCGAAUUUUAGGGUCAAAGUGCAGGGCUGUGCCCUGGAUAUUUCCUGAUGCGCUUCGUCGUGAGCUUUCCAAAAAGUCCAAGAACGUCCAAAUCCGAGUUGGUAUGCAAAAGAUACGUCCGUUUUACUGAACACGGGUCAAACCCACCCGAAACUAAAAUUCUACUCGGACUCGGGUCCGAAACUGACUCGAACUCUUUCUCUUUCUUUUUUUCGUUUUUUUUUCUUUCUUUCUUCCUUUUUUUUUUCUUUCCCUUUUUUUUGCACAACUUUCCAAACAACUUGAUCUCUAAACAAAAUUCGAUCUAUUAUGAAACACUUUCCAAAAGCACUCUUGAUUGGACUCGGACUCGAACUCGCGGCUAAAAACUAUAACUUUCCGACUCGAUGUAGGACUCGAAGAGGGACUUGGUGUAGGACUGGAAGAAGGACUCGGUGUAGGACUUGAAGAGGGACUGGGUGUAGGACUCGAAGAGGGACUCGGUGGAAGAUAUGGUGGAGGCGGGAGAUUAUGGUAGUGGUGUGGCUCUGAUACCACGUGAUGCGGGUGCGGGUGGCCCGAUCUUUCGAUGAGAUUGGUAACUCUCGAUUUGGGUAGGAGGUGACGUUGACGAUCCGACUACGGCCUAGGAGGCAGCGCCUUACCAAUCGAUACACCAACUCCAAAGGGUUAUUGAUCACGCGGGGACACGAUCAACCUGACCACGAAGGUCUUUGUUCCUGCAAGCAAUCGAAGAACAAGCAAGAACAAGAUAAAUAGAGGAUGCAAUCUAAAAUUGCGAAUAUACUAUAUCAAACCAAUGUCUCAACGAGACGAUAAGUUGGGGUUCCGAAAGCGGUAAAACAGGUGGUCUAACCGACACACGCGAUUACACGAAGUAGUAGCGAUGGCUAACUUUUAACUAAACAAAACCCAAGGCUCUUUAGGGGGGCUCAUGGGGUAUAUAAAGGAGGAGGGAGAGAUAUUUUCGUCCACCUUGAAUAAGGAGUCCGAAAUCCAACUCUAUCUCUAACUUUCCUAACAAACUACAACUCUUUAGGAAACAGAAAAACAGAUCCGUCAGCUUGUUUUGUCUGUCACGGUCAGCACGAGUCCAAUCUCUUGAUGGGGCCAGAUCCGUUGGAAAGGUCUUGUAAUUACCUUUCCAACAAGUACUUGUUUGCUUGAUUUGGACUCAGGAUGCGGCCUGGGUGAUUAAAACAAAUUCAGGUCUCCUGGCAGCUCGGAUCCGAAUCGGAUUCAACUUUAAUUCGUGAUAUCUUUCUCUAGCAAGCUCCGAAUCAUGUGCCGUUUGAUUUGUUGGAAAGUACACUUGAAAUCCUUCCCUCUCAGCUGUAUGAAUGCUUGAUUCUUGUUGGCCCUCCCGUUCGCCUCCACCGUAUCUCAUCUUGACCUUGGAUUUGAAAAGCUCGACAAGAUGCCUAUGUAAUAAAACGAGACAAGAUCGUAGUAGCUCCGCCUCUUCAUAAGUAUGACAAUGAAAGCAAUUACUACUUGAAUUCACCUGAUUAUAAAUCUUGUCAAAUAUUAUAGAAUUGAGGGUACCAAAGGUCGUAUCCAUGGUUAGCAUGUCCAUAUCAUUGUCCCACUCUGUUUGUGCAGAAGAAGGACAAAACCGAACGUCUGUGUGUUGAUUACCGUCCUCUUAAUCAACAUACAAUCAAGAACAAAUACCCACUUCCUAGGAUCAACGAUCUGUUUGACCAACUUGCCGGAGCCGCAGUUUUCUCAAAACUUGAUCUACGUUUAGGGUAUCAUCAAAUCAAAAUCCGGAAGGAGGACAUUCCAAAGACCGCUUUCACAACUCGUUAUGGUCUUUACGAGUACACUGUCAUGUCUUUUGGCCUCACCAAUGCUCCAGCUACCUUCUCUCGUCUGAUGAAUUCUAUUUUCAUGGAAUAUCUGGACAAGUUCGUUAUGGUCUACUUGGAUGACAUUCUUGUCUAUUCUAAAUCCGAGGAAGAACAUGAAGGACAUCUUUGUCUCAUCCUUUCCAAACUUCGUGAAAAUCGACUCAAUGCUAAGUUCUCCAAGUGCGAGUUCUGGCUUCCACAAGUCAAUUAUCUUGGUCACGUCAUCUCAGCAAAGGGAAUUGCUGUCAAUCCGGAGCGAAUUCAGGACAUUGUCGGGUGGUCUCAACCCAAAAGUGCAAAGUAAAUCCAGAGUUUCCUUGGUUUGGCAAGUUAUUGCCGACGUUUCGUCCCCAAUUUCUCCAAAAUUGCCAAGCCUUUGACCGACCUUCUCAAGAACGACAAUAAGUUUGUUUGGACCUCUCAGUGCGAAGAGGGCUUUAAACUUUUGAAGGAAAACUCGCUACACCUCCUAUUUUGGCUCCUCCAGAUACUACACAACCUUUCCAAAUCUAUGGCGAUGCAUCUCGGCAAGGUUUAGGCGCUAUCCUUUUCCAAGAUGGGAAAGUUGUGGCAUAUGCGUCUCGCCAACUUCGUCCAAAUGAACUCAACUAUCCCACGCAUGAUCUUGAACUCGCUGCAGUUGUUUUUGCAAUCAAACAAUGGCGGCAUUAUCUUGCGGGUGUACCUUGUGAGAUCUUUACAGAUCAUAAGAGCCUCAAGUACAUCUUCACCCAGCUUGAUCUCAAUCUUAGACAGCGACGAUGGAUGGAGUUGAUCUCAGAAUACAAUCUGUCGAUUAAUUACACACCAGGCAAAGCUAAUGUUAUGGCUGAUGCCCUUAGUCGCAAAUCUGAUUGCAACUCUCUCACAGUCUCGGAAUUAUCUCCUGAUCUUUGAGAGGACUUCAAGAAUCUUAACCUUGAGCUUGUUCCAAAAGGUUAUCUUGCAAAUCUGGUCGUUACUUCUGUUUCAUCUUUGGAAGACAGAAUUCGAAAAGCUCAGCUGCUUGAUGAUUUGGUCAAAAAGGUUUCUGAUCAGAUAAAAGCUAAAGAUCCCAAAGCUAAGAGAUUCUCACUUGAUGACAAAGGAACUGCGUUCUUUGAUGAUCGCAUGGUUGUUCCUAAUAAUCAAGACAUAAGAGAGUCUAUUCUCCAAGAAGCCCAUGACACACCUCUUGCUAUCCAUCCCGGUUCUACCAAGAUGUAUCAAGACAUCAGAAAGAGCUAUUGGUGGACUGGAAUGAAAGAGCACAUUGCUAGAUAUGUGUCUGAAUGUGAUGUAUGUCGCCAUGUUAAGGCAGAGCACCAGAAGCCUGCUGGUCUUCUUCAACCUCUGAGUGUUCCAACAUGGAAAUGGGAGAAGAUAGAAAUGGACUUCAUCACUGGGUUUCCAAAAUCUCGCAAGGGUAAUGAUGCAAUCUUUGUGGUGAUUGAUCGACUGUCUAAGGUCGCUCACUUCUUGCCUGUCAAAGAAACAAUCUCAGCUAGUCAAUUGGCCGAAUUGUACACUUCCAGAAUUGUCUCUCUCCAUGGUGUCCCAGUUGAAAUAAGCUCCGAUCAUGGAAGUAUCUUUACAUCCAGAUUUUGUGAAAGCUUUCAGAAGGCAAUGGGCACUAAUCUCCUUUUCAACACCGCUUAUCAUCCUCAGACUAGCGGUCAAGUUGAAAGGGUAAAUCAGGUCCUUGAAGACAUGCUUCGAGCUUGUGUCAUAUCUUUUGGUAUGAAAUGGGAGGAAUCUCUGCCGUUUGCGGAGUUCUCUUACAACAACAGCUAUCAAGCAAGUCUGGGCAUGGCGCCAUUCACUUUCCUCUAUGGUCGCAAAUGUCGCACUCCCUUGAACUGGACCGAGGCAGGUGAACGUCAACUCUUCGGGCCAGAUUUGAUUCAAGAAGCUGAGGAUCAAUGCCGUAUCAUUCGGGAAAAUUUAUUAGCGGCUCAAUCCCAUCAGAAGAGCUACUAUGAUAACAAACACCAAGAGGUGGUGUAUGCUCCCGGUGAUCAGGCGUAUCUUCGUGUCACUCCGAUGCGAGGUACACAUCGUUUCAAUGUGAAAGGCAAGCUUGCGCCUCGUUACAUUGGCCCCUUCAAGGUGAUCGCAAAGCAAGGCGAGGUAGUUUAUCGCCUCCAGCUUCCUCCAAAUCUCACCAAGGUCCAUCCUGUGUUCCAUGUUUCCCAACUCAAACGUUGUUUUCAAGGAUCCUGGUUGUGCGGUCGACCAUGAGACCAUCGAGAUACGCGAAGAUCUCACUUACAACGAGUGUCCAGUUCGCGUUCUCGAUGUGAAGGAACGUCGCACUCGCAACAAAACUCACAAAUUCUACAAGAUCCUUUGGUCUCAUCACUUUGACAAAGAAGCAACGUGGGAACGUGAAGAUCAGUUGCGCAAGGACUAUCCUACCUUUCUUGCGGAUCCCUGAGAAUCUUGGGACAUGAUUCCUUUUAGUGGGGGAGAAUUGUCACAGCCCGAGAGCAACUUUUACAUUUAAGCCCUUGUUUGGACCUGUUUGUAAUUUAUUCAAAUGCUGCAUGACAAUUACAUUUGCAUCCAUGCCAUGCCAUGUCUGUUGUUUGUGUCACAUGAGUUUUAAAUUUGCAUCUCAAAUUGUGGUUUGAAUUCUUGUUGUGUAUUUUUGUUAGAAGAUUCAAAUAUGAAUCACCCUCCUUUGAGUUUGAAUUCUUUUCCCUCUAUUUUUUCAAAUGAGAUUCAAAUGGGUUUUGCUUUAAACCUUAAACCCCAUUUGAAUAUUUCCAAAUACUAGUACCAUAUUUGAAUUCUACUACUUCUCAGCUUUUCAAUAUGGUAUUUGAAAUUUGAGUCCAAAAGCAUUUGCAAAAGCAGAAAAUAGAAAAGGGAAAAAGAAAAAAUCCAAACCUUACCUGCUCACUUGGCCCGAGCCGGCCCAGCCGCCUCGGCCCGCCGUCCUCCCGCGUGCGCGAGCAAGCCGCCUGGUGACACAGGUCUCGCGGCCCGCUUCCCCACGCCGCCCCGCAGCCCAGAUCGGCCCAGCCGCCCAGCAUUCUUCUGUGCGCGCCCGCUUCCCGUCCCCCCGCAGCGAAAGCGUAAAAUCCCGGAAUGCGCUUUGUCUCACAGCUCUCUCUUCUACCUCUGCUUUUCUUCCUUCCGACCAGUGAGCCCCCCCGGCCACGUCCUCUUCGACAGCGACAGCCACGCCUCCCCCUCGCCUACUUAAGCCACGCCGCACCUCCUCCUACCCGCGCCGCCUCUAGGAAACCCUAGUUAGGGUUUUCUCCUUCCCCUUCUGCGCAGCGCCGUCGCCCCGCUCCUUCGGUCGUGGACGCCACCGCGUCGCGCCACCGUCUCCGGCUGAACAGCGGCAAGCCGACCGCGUCACCCGAACCGCGUCAAGUCGCCUGCUUCGUCUACAUGCGAGGAAUUGGACGGAGGGCACCUACAUCAACGCCUAGGUCAUCUUCCCCAUCUUCGGCUGUCGCCUCUUCUCCGACAAAUUCCGGCGAGGUCGUCGACUCUUUCCUCGUCCACUUCCUCUUGAAGAUCGGGGGUGAGAUGUUCUUCCUCCUGCCUCUUUCCACACCGCUUUUGAUGCACCGUAGCGCCGUAGCCGCAAGCGCGCGCCGGCGAGCUUCGGCUCGUCGCCGCGCCGUCGUCUCCUUAAGGAUGCUGUGAUGGCCUUCGUGCCAUCUGGACUCUCUCCGGGUGCCGCUUCCGUUUUCCUUGUUAGGGAGCCCCUACGCCGCUAGCUUGGUCACCGCAUCCAUGCUCGUCGUGGGCGCCGCCCGUGCUCCCAAGCCGCUCUUUUGGGCUGAGUUAACAUGGCUUGCGCCCUGGAUCUUGUAAGAUCCGAACCGCAACUGUCAUCGCACGAUGCUCCGACACCGGGGGUGUGCGGUCACGGCCCCCUUUUAGGUUCGGCAGGGGCGUCGGGGUUCGCCCCGGCGAUAGACGGCUCGGCCGAUGGGCCCUACGAAGCCGGCGGAAUGACGUACUAGAACUGCGUGCUAAUCAAAGAACACAUGCACACACUUUUUUACCCAGGUUCGGACCAUCCGGAGAUGUAAACCCUACGUCCUGCUUGUCUGAGCUGGUAUUGAUUGCAGAUCAAGUGUUUAGACCUUACUGGGGGAAGGUCCUCGGGCUCUCUCUCUCUCUUCCCUUGCGUACGCUACCUGCUACUCAGAGCUAAACAAACUUGCGAACGUGGAGCCUCUGAUCGGAACUGGAACCCACCGGAACCCCAACCCAGCAGAACUUGAACCCUUCUACCGCUGGCGAGGGUCCCCCUUUUAUACUCAAGAGGAUGGCACAGGUGCCACGGUGCAUGGGCUACAAAUGUCGAGCGGGGAGGCACACAACUCCCCCUCGGUGAGCUGGUGGCAUGCAUGGACGCCACCUCCGCCGCUAGGGGUCUAAAACCCUAGAGUAGGAUUGGACAGCCACUGUGCACUUGACUUGGAUGGGUAACGCCCCUCCUGUCGGCUCAUUUAAUAAGCCGCACGCCUUACUCCUUGCUCCGGUGGGGCCACGCACCCCACGCCCGCCACGCGCCCGCGUGGCGCUGUUGAUCUGCUCACUGGGCCCCACCCUUGAAGCGGGGGCAUGCGCCCAGGAACCCCCUGUCCCGGCAAGUCGCUCCCCGGGAAGCGCCCGGGCCCAACGCACCCGGGACCUCCCCCAGGGAAGCGGCUUCCCGGGAGGUGCCCAAGCGGGAAUAUUCCCUGAAGCCCCGCUAGGCCCUUCUGGGCUGGUAGCUUACCGGGCUGCUCGUAGCCGCUGCCUGGGAUGGAACCUUCCCAGGAACUCGGGGACAGGGCCCACGCGUCGCGCAGCGGUGGUACCCCGAGUGCCACGGGUGCGACAGUAGCCCCCGGGCGUGGGCCGGCAUCAACUGUUCCCGGAUGAGUCUUCCCCAGGUCGGUUGCCGGGCUACGCCCUCAACCGACGUGUGGGCCCCGAUUUGCCGCGAGCCUGCGUCCCUUCGCUACCUCGUGUACAGCGCCGUUACAGACGGAGUAGUGGGUGUGCGAUUUCCGCCCUACCUCCCCCCCUAAAUAGGGAAGUUAAGGCCACUCCGUGCAUUACUCCUAAUGAUUAGGAGUUAUCCCCGCGCACCCGUAGGGUACGGAACCGGCCGUUACCAAAUGGCAGGUGUUAUAAGGCGCUUACUGUUGACAAAAGGGGAAAAACACUCUGUCCCCAUAGCCUUUGUCUUCAUCCCCUUCCGCAUCUCGCAUUCCAGCGCUCCUGCCCGCUUUCGCCCUCACUCCCCAUGGCGCCCCCCACCACCAGAAAGGGAAAAGAGGUCCAGGGCUCAAAGAAAGCCGCGGCCGGCAAGAGCGAGGCGGCAACCAAGGCAGCUGCCGCCAAGGACCAGAAGAAGCGGGAGAUGCGGGCUACGCUCGCCUUCUACCGCCCAAGGUACAACGGCGAGGCGCUGGAGAAGGUCCGGCAUGCCGUCGCCUCCAACUUCAAUGAGCACAGGGAGAUGCUGAUCUUCCCGGCGGGUGUCGAGCACUAGGAUAAGGACUUCUGGGUGUUCGCGCGCUUUCUCCUUACCGGCCUGGUGCCGCCCUUCUCGCUGUUCCUCCAUGCGCUGAUGGAGUCUUACCAGCUGUGGGUGGCGCAGCUCCACCCCACGUCGCUGUUCCUCCUCGCCACCUUCCAGUUCCUCUGCGAGGCGUUCGUGGGGGUGAUGCCGUCGGUGGGGCUCUUCCGCCACUACUUCUACCCCCGCAUUGACAACGCGAAGGCGAUGUCAUCGGGGGUGGUGUUCCGCGCCCGCGACCAGAUGAAGUCCGAGUUCAUCGUCCGGUCUGGGAAGAAGAUCGAAAAGGAGUGGCGGAGCGAUUGGUGUUGGGUCCGAGUGGAGGACCCCCAAGAGUUCAUCCAGUCGCCGACGGAGUUGCCGCAACCCCAAAAUGGCUGGCAGGACAGGUACCACCGCGACGCUGACGUCCUCCCCAUUGUGGAGAAGAUUAAGGCGCUGCGGCUGGCGGGGCUCACCGACGUGGACGUGGCGCGCACCUUCGUCCACCGGCGCAUAUCCCCGCUGUAGCUAAGCUCCUGGCCCGCGUGAAUGUACACAGGUCCCAGGGACAGGACACGCCUCCAACAGGACGGCGUGGACUUGGAGACCCUCAGCACGUGGGUGAGGGGGAUCUCCGGCGAGACCUUCCCAUCAACGGAGUUCCCGCCGGGGGUUUCCUCUCUUCAUGCCGGCGUUGCGGCGCCCAGCGACAUCGUUGGCGCCUUCCCGCCUUGCAACGAGUGGGGGUUGAUGGACGACACCCCCACCCGGGUCCCGCACGCUCCCCUGCAAGCACCCCACGAGAAGCACGUGCUCGAGGAGUGCGGGGGCGGAUCCGAGCCCAGCUGGCCCUCCCUCCAGUCGCUGGACGACGAGGCGGGCCAGGCAGUUGUGUUCCCGGAGGUCGUCCUCAUGGACGACGACGACGAAAGCAGCGACAGCGCGGCCCUGAUCGUGAGGAGAUCAAGGGCGUUUGCAGCAGCCGCCGCUAUCUCCUCAACAGCGCCUUCGCCCCGACAGCGACCACCAACCUUGCGGCGGCGGCCGCUUCAGGGGCGCCCGUCGGUACCUUGAUGGCAUCCGCGGCCACAGGGGUCGCCGGUGCCUCACCGGCAGCCGCCCGCACCAUGGCGGUAGCUGCUCUCGGGGCGCCCGCCGGCACCCCGGCAGCGCCCGCGUCCGCAGGGGUCGCCGGAGUCUCGGCAACGGUCUUCGCCCCAGUAGCGGGAGCCUCCCCAAGGUUGGUUCCCGGCACUGCGACGGGAUCACCGUCAACACCCGGGACACUCCGGGUCGCGACGACCUCGCGAAUAGGCGCCGCCUGCUCGGGGGGUAUUCCGGGGCUUUGCGCUCCGGCGUAACCCCCUGAAGUCCAACUCGCCGGCGAGUGCCGCCAAGAGGGCGAGGAGCGAUUCCCCACCCGACACGCCGAGCAAGAGGGCGCGCGCAGACGCCAGCGUCGCUGCCGAUCCCACCGCCGCAGGGGUCGGCUGCGACGCGAUCGCGCCCGAUGACGGCCCAGCCCCCACGGAGGCAGGGCCGGCAACCGGUAUGUCUUCUUCACUUCUCCGCAGCUGCAUUUUUUCAGUUGUUAGUCAAACUCAUGAAUGUACCUCUUUCUGCAGUGGGCGCCAACUCGCCCGCGGCAAGCCUCUUGGAGGCUCCCGCCGGCGCAGGUGAGGCAGGAGAGGCUCAACCCGCAAGCCCGACAGCCGCGCAAGGUAACCAUCCUGGUCACCCUUCAUCUUCACUUUGGACUUGUAAAGUUCAAUAAGAUGCCUACAUAAUAAGAUUACACAAGAUAGUAGCUCCGCCUCUUUGCAAGUAACAUAUUGAAAACAUUUUGUAAUUGAUUCGCCUGAUUAUAAUCAUUAGAGACACCAACAAUUAGUAGCUCCGCCUCUUUGCAAGUAACAUAUCCAUGGUUAGCAUGUCCAUAUCAGACUUGAAGCGGAUUCGCUUCUUCUCUGGAGUUGUGAGUGUAAUAGUCCUCUUGACACAAUCUAUAAGUCCUUCAUACUUGGCUAACCAAUCCAUUCCUACGAUCACAUCCAAGCUUUUUGAUCCUAACACUAUCAGGUCUGUGGGGAAAUUGUGUUUUCCAAUUUCUAGUGUCAGCAUUCGGCAUUCACAAGCUGUUAUCAUCUCUCCCCCAGGUGACUUCACCUUCAUAGGGUUCACUAAGGUACCAGUGGUUAAUCCAUUCUCAUGCAGAAAACUCCUUGAGAUAAACGAAUGCGAUGCACCGGUAUCAAAUAGUACGAGUGCUUCAAAAGAAUUUAGACGGAAGGUGCCGAUUACGAUACCUUACUCCUCCGUGAUUUCUUCCACACGCCCUUCUAAAAUGGGUUAGGCUUUGCUCCAGCCUCAUUGAACUUCUCCGGACAAUCAUUGGAGUAGUACCCCAUCUUGUGACACUUAAAGCAUUGCACUUGGCUCAUAACCAUGCCAGUGGUGCGGUUCUGUCCUGGGUUUCCUCCAUUGUUAUGGCCACUGCCCUUGUUGUUGUUGAUCCUUGGGUGCUGGUGCUGGUGUUGGUGGUUCCGGCUGCCAUUUCCUCCCUGGUGGUGGUGGUGUUCUUGAUUUCCAUGGCGGUGAUGGUGUCCACUCCCUCCAUGGUGACUCUGAUGAUUUCCACCAUGCUUAACCAUCGAAGAGUUGCCACUACCUUCGUACGAGGUGCGCGGCUUCUGAUGUGGACCAGAGUGGUUAUUGCCAUGGUGAGGCCUCUUCCUCCUGUUUUCCAUCUGAUUCUGCUUGUUCUCCAGAAUGAUGGCUUUGUCCAUGAGAGACUGGUAUGUAGGGAUGUAAACAAUUACCAGUUGAACGGCGAGUUCGUUGUUCAAACCAUCCAAAAACCUUUCCCGGCAUUUUGCAUCAGUGUUGACGUCGUCUGGGGCAUAGCGCGACAACUUGUUGAAAGCUUCGAUGUACUCUGACACGGUCUUGUUCUCUUGCCUUAGCUUGUGAAAUUUCCUCUUCUUUAACCUCAGCACGCCUUCAGAGAUGUGGGCGGUGCGGAAGGCAUCUUGGAACAUUUCCCAUGUUACCUCUUCCAUGGGUGUAGUAAUCUGAUAAGUCUCCCACCAAGCUGCGGCAGGUCCUUCAAGCAGGUGAGCGGCAAACCUCACCUUAUCAGCUUCAUUGCAGCCAACUGUCACUAGGCACUUGCUCACGGAACGGAGCCAAUCAUCAGCUACAAUCGGUUCUGGGGAGCUGGUGAAUGUCGGUGGACGCAGCCUCAGAAACCUGGUUAACAAGUCCACUUGAGGUGGUGGGUUGGGGUUCUGGUUGUUGUGGUUGUUGUUGUUGUUGUUGUUCAUCUGCUGGGUCAAAUCUUGCAAAAUCUGAGUCUGUGCAGCCAGUAGUUGCUGCAUAGUGGCGGCGUUGUUGUCCUGACCCUCCUCAUUGUUGUCAGCAUUCCGGCGAGUUUCACGUCUCGGCGGCAUCUGUUUUGGGACAGCAUAUAUGAGAAACAGAUAGACAGGGUCUAAGGGAAACUAAGCCCCACAAGACUGGCAAUACAACAGUUCAAACAACAAGCAUAACACAAGCAUGACAAUUCAAUCAUGAAACAAGUCAUCUAUAAAAUAGGCAAAAGCAUUCACUAGGAUUUUAACAUCCAAAACGAAUAGUUCACAAGGCGUACCAGCCCAAAACACAAGUGAAAAGCUACAAGUAAAAACACAAAUCUACAUUGCCAUACCACAACGACGGCAUGGUCAAUGACUAACACGAUAACGAAUAUAGUAUAAUAAAUAGUCCAGCGGCUCUAAGCUGAUACUAAGGAAGUGAAAGGAAGUUGGUGUUCCCAGAGUUCUUUGCCCUAGAACGGGUGCGGGUGGGAGGUGUGUCCAUCUCCUGCGCCUCCCGAGGUUCCUCCUCCUGUGGCUCCAUCUCCUCGUCCUGAGGGGGUGGUGGAGCUUGUGCUGGUGUAGGGUUGACGUUGUUGACCUGGGCUUGGAGUUGAUCAUACUGAAGUUGCAGGAGAUCCUUCUCGUACAUAAUCUGCUCCAUGAUCUCAUGCAUGUUCAGGAUAACAUCUCCCCUGCAGUUCACCUCGUUUGUCUUCAGCGCCAGUUGACCUUGGAGUAUCCCCACCUGGUCUUCAGCUAUGUCCGCUCGGGUCAUCUCGUUGUAGAGACUCUUCCCCAUGUCCACCAUGUUCUGCUCCAGAGCUUGAAACUGAACAUCCUCCGUGUGCGCAUCCUCGCCUAGGAUCUCCAGUCCCACGGCAUUCCCGCCAACAACUCGCCUUCCGAAGCUACGAAAGACAGAGUCCGGAGGCAGUUCAUCGUGGUACGCCUCGCACACACGAGCUAUCGCAUGUUGCAUGGCGAACUGGAGUCCCAGCAAGAAGUCGGGGUAGCGCACGGAGUAGGUGAUGUCGGGCGUCAAUGGAACAACAGUCCGUCCUUUGAUCUCCGUGUCGAUCUCCCAGCGGCGUGCACCUCCCUGGGAUCCCACCGGCUCAGCACGUCCUCGGAAAUAGGGUGCUGCCAGGUGCAGUGUCGUGCACAAAGUAGCAAGCUGCCUCCCAAACGGGAUGUCGUCGUCAACUGUCGGGUAAUGGACGUGUGUGAAAGGUGGCUCAUCUCCGAAAUUUGGUGGACCAUUCAUCUACAAGAUUUAUGGUGGAGGGAAGGAAUUAGUCAUAUGAUCAAGUAGGUGGAUGCAUAAAUGUAAUAAUGACAAUAUAAGGUGUAUGUUAUGCAAACAUGACGUAUGAUUGUAAUAGUGGAAAGCAUGACAUUGCAGUAUGAGGUGUAUACAAAUGCAUAUAAAAUCUGAAGAUGCAAGUAGGUGAAGUAAAACACAAGUAGUACAUAUGCAUUGGACAUUGGUAUGAUUGCAAGUGUAUAUGAAUAUGCAUGUAUCUCAAUAUGCAAAUUUAGAGUGGUAUGAAAUGCAUAGAACAAUCCUAUGGUCUCUUUUGGUCUAUUCCAUGCUAGCGUCACGUUCCUACAGGCAACACAAUGCUUUGAUACCAUCUGAAACGACCGCCCCCGUACAAGGGUUCGAUCUCUGUGCUUUAGUGCUAGUCCCUGGAUCGACUCACUAGCACACACAGUUUCAAGAUAUAAUAUCAUAGAACAAAGGUCUCCAUAUUACAACGUAUCAUCCAGAAUUUAAAAGGUACUUACAACUCGCAUAACCUCACGGGUUAGCUGGAAAUAAAACAACUGAUUAGCAGUGGAAAGCAAAAGAUACAAGGGCACAUCAACACCACGGUGAGAGCGUGUUGGAAUGUAAGCCCCUAACCCAAAAGCAGAACGUACAUCUUACUCGUCGUCGGAGCUUCCUGCAUCAUUAAACGAUGCAGCCACUAGGAUCAAUACAUUGAAUGUAUUGGCAAGAUUCACCAGGAGUUAUAACAGAACCUACCAAGUAUAUGCAUAAUGUGGCAAAGUGGGGUUCAGGCUGUUUGCGUGGAAGCAGAACAUAAAUUAUCCUACUACAAAGGAAUGUUAUAAUAAUGUUAACUAUUGGACACGGGGUAGACACACCCAUGCUCCUAUUAACCUAGAGCACACUGAAGUGGAUUCUUCAAGUGCUCCUACCCUGUUCAAACCAUUCAUUUUAUUUAAGAAAUUGGAAUGAGUGAGACUUUCCUGACAGCUCCACAUCUAGUCGCUCAAAUUGUCCGUUGCCAGGGACACGGCUAAGUACUUAGUUUUGACGCUCUCGAGAGUUUGUACACAUUCCCCACAAGAAACCGACGUGUUAAUCCCUUGCUGUCCUCAGGGUAGAGUAGCAACGGUAUCGAUUACGAGAUUUUCAGAGGUGAUUCCCUAAACCACGAGAGAAUCACGCUCCCCCUACACGGCUACCUCAGUACAAUUCCUCGGGUCUAGGUUCAUACAACUUACUCCACGGGAGAGACGUCCAUGGACGAUCCAUUCCUGAAUCCACAGGAACUCGACUCAGAGGGACCCAUAGAAAUGGACCUGACGCCGCUAAUCCUCAAAAUCUUCAAAGCAGCCCACCCAGGACGGUUCAUUGAAUUAAUUGUUUUGUCUUACAUCUAACAAAACAUUUCAAAUCGCCAAAGGCAUAACAAUAUCAUAAUGUAGUUAUUUCCCCCACGAUACUACCAUAGCCUAGCAUUCAACUACAAUCGAUGGCAAUUUUGGUAGCAAGGUAAUGGCGAGGGUAAACUAGACUACCUGGGAUUUAUAGCUAGCAUAGAAGUACGAGUAAUAUUCCUGAUGCAACUAAUAAAACAUCUAGUGCAUAGUAAAAAUAUUUAGGAGAAUGAUCAAAGUGAACUUGCCUUGUCCAAGGUUGUAGUAGUUCUCGCACUCUUCGCAACAACAAUGAUUAUACUCCACACAAUCUAAAAUAACAGAAACAUACACCCAAUAAACACAACAUUCAAUACAAAAGCCAUGCCAUGAUGCAUAUGCCAUGAUGAUGCACGCAAAGGUUACUUCUAACGUACAAAGUUUCGUUUCUGUUUUGAAAAGUUUUUCAAAAGUUUUGGACAGAUUAUACCACAUCAAGUGGUAAUUAAUAUGCAUGAUUCAUGAAUAAGGUUUGAAACAAACGAUUGUCCGGCUUAUGCAACAUAGAGCAAUAUUUAACUUGUAUGGCAUGAUUAUACACAAAUUAAUUUCUUUUCUGGUCCUAAUGGACAAAGAACAAGUUUAAAUAAUUUUACAGCAAGAUAACAUGCUCAAAACUAUUUUGAAACAAUUCAUUUGGAAUUUAAACCAUAUUCAACCAUUCUGUAAAUAGCCUCUGUCUAAGUUGUUCAAAACUGAAUUUAAACAGUGCCAAAAUAUUCUACAAGUUGUGACGAUUCCAGAAAGGUGCGGAACACAAAAAUUGGACAAACGGUUUGAAAGAUAUGAGGCUUUGAAGUUACAGGGGCCUUUUUGCAAAAGUGCAUUAUCUAAUUCAGCCGAAAAAGAAUAAAAUAAAAUAAAUAAAUAAAACUCUCGCCACGUGGCGGAAUUUGAUUGGCCCGGGGCUAGGGUUUUGGCCGGCAAGGCUCUCUCGCCGGAAGGCGGCGGCGCGGGGCGGGUCACGCGGGCGGCUAGUGGCCUGGGGCGGCUCGACGGCGCGGGGCGCGGAGCGCGCGGGCAGGCGGGCGGAGCGUGGCGGCAGGCGGUUCGGUGCGGCACAGGCGGCCGGAGGCGGGGAAGAAGACGGGCGGAGUGCGGGCGGCGCUCCAAAAGCAAAUCGGACCGUGUCACUACGUGCGCAACGAAGAGGGGAAGAGGCUUAGGGGGUCGGCGCGGGCGGAGACUCACCGGAACGGCAGCGAGACGCGGAAAACGGCGGCGGCAGAGAGUAACUCCGGUGAGAAAUUAAUCUCAAACCGAAGCGAAAUUGGGCGAGCGGUUUGGGGGAAGUGGAGGAGAAAAGCGAGGGCUUCGGGGUGACGCACAAGGAUUUGGAGGAAACGGCCCGUGCGCGGAGAAAUCGGAGGUGGAGUCGUGGGCAGUUCGCGGGGCGUGCGUGGCCCGAUUUCUCGGACGGAGGUUGAAGAAGACGCGGGGCCCACCGGUCAGUGAGAGGGACCAGGCGGUUCGGGCUGGGCCGGUCCGGUUCGAUCCGGUUCGGUCCGGUUUGACCGGUUUUCUUCGGUUUUUCCUUUUCCUUUAUUUAUUUUCUGUUUUUGAACCUCAAAAUUGACUCGAAACUCCAAAUCACUCCAAAUAAAAUGCAACAAAAUUUGUAAAAUCAUAUUUUCAUAUGAUCUAACUUUUGGAACAAGAAUUUCUUCAAAAUAAAAUAUUCAAAAAUACAUUUGCCAAUAAAAUGGCUUUUAGGGCCCUUAGGCUAUCAAAACAAAUUAUUUUUUCAAAAUUUCAAAAGCCAAAUUAUGGCAUAGCUCUAUAUAUGCAUUAAAUCCAUUUUUACCACAAUACCCUCAUGGGUUAAAAAUGCAAAUACUCAAGAGCAAGAUUAAAGCCCAAAAUCAAAUAAAGACAUCUUUGCAAAAGGGUUUUCUAGGCAAAUUUUAGGGUUUUGAAAGUGAUCAAAUGCAAGGAUGACAUGAUGCUUAUGAUAUGCAAUGCAUAUGAAGAGUUUUGAAAAUUGGGAUGUUACAGCUGGGGGCUGCGGCUACUAGUUGCCGCCGUCUUCGGCCGGGAGGUAGGUGGGGCGAUCGUGCUCCGGCUUCAUCUGCAUCCGCUCGACCACCUCGUCAACGAACGCGCGCACUACUUGGGUGUGCGUGGGCUCGUCCUCGUUGUCGGACCGAGCGUCCAGCAGGGACUCGAAGGGAAACUCCGGGUCCCGAAGAUGAAUCCGCGGGAGGAUUGUCCCGGCAACCUCCCGAGCGCAGUUGGUGACUUCGUUGGCGCCGUACCGGGCGCCCCAAGCUUUCCCACCAGAUCAGAGAAGAAGGGGAUCAGCGUCGUGACAUCUUUCCCGUCCACUACCGCUGCCUGAAGCUCGAACUUGGGCAGCAGGUCAGCGCUUGGGCGAUCUUCAGCAGCUUCUCCGUCUCGAUCUGCCGCUGCCUGAUCAGCGUGCCGUGAUGGAGUCGAGCGUCGUGCGCGGCCUUUUUAGCCUUGCGGACGUUGCCUUCCAUCGUCGCGAGCUCCGCGGUCUUCACCGCGAUCUCGUUGCCGGCCUUGGCAACCUCCUCCCGGACGGCGGCUAGCUCGGUCUAAAGCCUGGCCGCUCUGUCCUUGGCAGAGCCGAGCUCGGUCUCGUGCCGAGCCGCCGCUCCCACCACAUCUUCGGUGGCCUUGACUUGCACCUCCAGCAUGACGAGAAGGCCUUGGAUUUCGCCGCGAUAGUUGGCGAUCAGGACACUGUUCUCGUCCAGCCGGGUCUGGGCCGCCGCGACCACCUCGGCAUGUUCUUUCUUCGUCGCCUCGAGGGUGGCUGCCAUUGAGUCCAGCUUCCCUUGAAGCUCCGUGCGCUGGGCCUCCAGCUGCCGGUGGAGCUUGGCCUCCAGGACCGCCGGCUCCCAGGCGUCCUCCAGGGCUUGCUGGGCCAGCCGCGCCUCCUCCUCAGCGAGGCGCGUCUCCUCACGCAGCCGGGACAGUUCUCGCCGCUCUCUCUCCACGGCCUCCCGCACCUCGCCAAGUUGGUUCUUGGCGGCAGCGUGAUGCUCCCUCACCUCGUUGAAGGAGGUGACGAAGGCCUGUCGCUGGUCCCUAACGGCGUCCAAAACCGUCGCCCCCGCUCGAAGAUGCUCGGAUCCUAGGUGAGGGGGUUCCAAGCGACCCCGACGAGGGUGCCGAGGUCGGUAUCGGGGAGAGCAGCCGAGGACGAUGAAGCCCCGCUGCCGAUGUGGGGCUGUGCGCGGGGGUCUUGCUGUCCUUCCCCGGCAACCUCCCCUGCACCUGCGCCUAGGGACCCCGGGGUUGGGGAAGCCUCCUUGCUCCCGGCGGGGGCUGUCCCCUGUCGGGCGGCAGGUGAGCCCGCGCCAGUCGCGGCCGCAGCUGCGGGCCCGUCACUAGGCGCCGUCACAGCGGCGGCGGUGCCCACCGCUGCCCCUGUCUCUGUCGCGGAGGGGCUUGACGUGAGAGCCGGUUCUGGCUACACCUCCGCCCCCACGACCUCAACGACCGGGUGAAGAUCGACCACGGUCACGCCCGUUCCAGGUGUGGACACACUUGUGCCUGCGACGAUGAGAAGCAUGAGGAUUGGCGAGUAAUGGGGCUGUCAAAAACGGACAAAGGUGACCAGGAUGGUUACCUUGCGCGGCUGUCGGGCUUGCGGGGGGAGCCUCUCCGGCCUCGCCUGCGCCGGCGGGAGCGUCCAAGAGGAUUGCCGUGGGCGACCUGCCGCUCACUGCGAAAAGAGGUAAGUUCAUGAGUUUGGCUAACAAAAAUUGCAGCUGCGGAGAAGUAACGAAGACAUACCGGUUGCCGGCCCUGCCUCUGCGGCGGUGGGGUCCGCGGCGCCGCUAGCAUCGGCGCGCCCCUCUUGCUUGGCGUGCCGGGCGGGGAAUCGCUCCUCGCCCACUUGCUGGCACCCGCCGGCGAGUUGGACUUCGGGGGUUUACGCCGGAGCGCGAAGCCCCAGAAGACCCCCCGGGCAGGUGGCGCCGUAGGCGCCCGUGGGGUUGUCGUGGCCCGGAGAGCCCCGGGUGUCGACGGUGAUGCCGCCGCGGUGCCGGGAGCUGAACUUGCGGAGGCUCCCGCUGCCGGGGUGAAGGCCGUUGCCGAGACUCCGGCGACCCCUGCGGACGCGCGCGCGGCCGGAGUACUGGCGGGCGCCCCGGGACUGGCGGCCGCCACGGUGCUGGCGGCGGCCGCUGAGGCGGGGGCCGCCGCCGAGGCCCCCGCGGCCCCUGUGGCCGCGGAUGCCGCCAAGGUGCCGACGAGCGCCCCUGAAGCGGCCGCCCCCGCAAGGUUGGUGGCCGCUGCCAGGGCGGACGUCGCCGUCGAGGAGAGGGCUGUGGCCGCUGCAAACGCCCUCGAUCUCCUCACGAUCAGGGGCGUGCUGUCGCUGCUUUCAUCGUCGUCGUCCACGGCGACGACCUCCGGGAACGCAGCCGCCUGGCCCGCCUCGUCGUCCAGCGACUGGAGGGAGGGCCAAGUGGGCUCAGAUCCGCCCCCGCUCUCCUCGACACCUGCUUCUCGCAGGGUGCUUGCGGGGGAGCGUGCGGGACCCGGGUGGGGCUGUCGUCCAUCAACCCCCACUCGUUGCAGGGCGGGAAGGCGCCGACGAUGUCGCUGAGCGCCUUCACGCCAGCGUGAAGGGAGGAAACCCCCGGCGGGAACUCCGUUGAUUGGAAAGUCUCGCCGGAGAUCGCCCUCACCCACGUCCUGAGGGUCUCCCGGGACCCGUGUACAUCCACGCGGGCCGGGAGCGUAGCUGCAGCGGGGCUAUGCGUCGAUGGACGAAGGUGCGUGCCACGUCUACGUCGGUAAGCCCCGCUUGCCGCAGCGCCUUGAUCUUCUUCACGAUGGGGAGGAGGUCGGCGUCGUGGUAGUACCUGUCCUGCCAGCCGUUCUAGGGCUGCGGCAGCUCCGUCGGCGACUGGAUGAACUCCUGGGGGUCCUCCACUCGGACCCAACACCAAUCGCUCCGCCACUCCUUUUCGAUUUUCUUCCCCAACCGGACGAUGAAUUCGGACUUCAUCUGGUCGCGGGCGCGGAAUACCACCCCCAACGACAUUGCCUUCGCGUUGUCAAUGCGGGGGUAGAAGUAGUGGCGGAAGAGCCCCACCGACGGCAUCACCCCCACGAAUGCCUCGCAGAGGAACUGGAAGGUGGCGAGGAGGAACAGCGACGUGGGGUGGAGCUGCGCCACCCGCAGCUGGUAAGACUCCAUCAGUGCGUGGAGGAAUAGUGAGAAGGGUGGCACUAGGCCGCAGAGGAGGAAGCGCGCGAACACCCAGAAGUUGUUGUCCUGGUGCUCGACGCCCGCCGGGAAGAUCAGCGUCCCCCCGUGCUUGUUGAAGUUGGAGGCGACGGCGUGCCAGAGUUUCCCCAGCGCCUCGUCGUUGUAGCCGGGGCGGAAGAAGGCGACCGCGGCCCGCAUCUCCCGCCUCUUCUGGUCCUUUGCGGCAGCCGCCUUUGUUGCUACCUCGCUCUUGCUGGCCACGGCUUUCUUUGAGACCCGGACCUCCUUCCCCUUUCUGGUGGUGGGGGUGCCAUGGAAAGCGAGGGCGAAAGAUAGUAGGAGUGCAGGGAUGCGAGAUGCGGAAGGGGAUGAAGACGAAGGCUAUGGGGGCAGAGUGUUCUUCCCCUUUUGGCAACAGUAAUAGCUUUAUAACGCCCGGCCGUUUGAUAACGGCCGGUUCCGUACCCUACGGGUGCACGGGGAUAACUCCUAAUCAUUAGGACAAUGCACGGAGUGGUCUUAACUUCCCUAUUUAGGGGGGGAGUUAGAGCGGAAAUCACGCGCCCACUGCUCCGUUUGUAACGGCGCCGUACACGGGGCAGCGAAGGGACGCGGGCCCGUGUCGUCGCACGGUGCUCCGACACCGGGGGCGUGCGGUCACGGCCCCCUUUUAGGUUCGGUAGGGGCGUUGGGGUUUGCCCCGGCGAUCGCCAGCACGGCCGAUGAGGCCUUGCGGAGUCGGCGAAAUGAAGUACUAAAAGUGCGUGCUAAUCAAAGAAUACACGCACGUUUUUACCCAGGUUCUGAUAGCCUCGAGGGUGUCCCGAUCUUUCGAUGAGAUACCUAAUUAUCGAUUUGGUAGGAGGUGACGUUGACGAUCCGACUACAACCUAGGAGGCAGCGCCUUAGCGAUCGAUACACCAACUCCAGAAGGUUAUUGAUCCCACGGGGGCACGAUCAACCUGACCACGAAGGUCUUUGUUCCUGCAAGCAAUCGAAGAACAUGCAAGAACAAGAUGAAAAGCAAUCUGAAAUUGCGAAUAGGAGAUAUGAAGGUUCACGAAUCUGAAUACUCAAUAUAGUUGGAGUCUUGAUGACGGUAAAACAGGUGGUCUAACCGACACACGCGAUUACACGAAUGUAGCAAAGGCUAAACUUUAUCUAAUCAAACCCAAGGCUCCAUAGGGGGGCUCCUGGGGUAUAAAUAGGAGGGGAACUAGGGGGUUUUCGGCCAGGCCCUUGUGGGAGUCCGAAACGGCCUAGGAAUCCUCCUAAAACACAACGAAAACAUCUAAAAAUUGGCUGGACCCUAUUACAUGGCCUUAGGCCCAAUAAAACAAGGUUAUAACCCUCAUCUUUGGCCCAUAGAUACCCAUUGGACAGGGAAUCCUCCACUUGGCCGAAAUCCCAUUGAUGAAGAGGAUGCGGCCUUCUUCUCAUCUCUUUAUGGCGGUUUCAAUGUUCUGAAAUCAACACUUGAGCUACCUCCCGCCACCUUGCUGCCACCUCCAUGGUUUGCUGUCCAACGCUGAUCCUUGAGGUCCAAGCUAGGUCCUUCAUUCCUAAAACACAUAAAAGAACCCAUCUUAGGCGGCAGCAUAUUCUCAUUAAUAUUAAAUGAAGUACCGACGAACGAAAGUACCUGAUAAUUUAGUUGUCGUGCACGAGCUCUAGUAAUUGGUCCAUGUAUCUCCGGUACUUGAGGUGUAGGUGCGGUAGGGGCUGUGGUUGUAUCAUUACUUGGGAUGUCCUCAUCAGGUUCGGGCCACCUGGAGGUGUAAAACCCUACGUCCUGCUUGUCUGAGCUGGCAUUGGUUUAGAUCAAGUGUUUACAAGUUGCCGGGUAAGUUCCCGGGUACCCUCUUCCUUUGGCUAGAUACUACUUACUAUUCUUUGCUAGUGGUGGUGGCUAACGGUGAGCUGGUCGAACUCAGCCGAACCCUACUGUCUACUAGGAUCAAUGGCAAGUCCAACUGAGCCGAACGAACCUAAACCCAACUUACCUGAACCCCUUGACCGCUGGCGAGGGUCCUCCUUUUAUACUCAAGGGGAUGCCACAGGUGCCACGGUGCAUGGGCUACAAGUGUCGAGCGGGGAGGCAUACAACUCCCCCGGUGAGCUGGUGGCAUGCAUGGAUGCGACCUCCGCCGCUAGGGGUCUAAAGCCCUAGAGUAGGACUGGACAGCCACUGUUCCCUAUCGGACGGGUAACGCCCCGUCGGUCGGCUUAUUUAAUGAGCCGUGCGCCUCACUCCUUGCCUUGGUGGGGCCGCGCAUCCCACGCCCGCCACGCGCCCGCGUGGCGCUGUUGGUCUUGCUACUAGGCCCCACGCUUGAGGCGUGGCAUGCGCCCGGGAACCCCCUGUCCCGGCAAGUCGAUCCCCGGGAAGCGCCCGGGCCCAACGCACCCGGGAACCUCCCCCGGGAAGCAGCUUCCCGGGAGGUGCCCAGGCGGGAAUAUUCCCCGAAGCCCCACUAGCCCCUUCCGGGCUGGUAGCUUGCCAGGCUGCUCACAGACGCUGCCCGGGAUGAAACCUUCCCGGGAACUCGGGAACAGGGCCCACGCGUCGCGCAGCGGUGGUACCCUGGGUGCCCCUGGUGCGACAGCCCGCGGCAAAUCGGGGCCCACACGUCGGUUGAGGGCAUAGCCCGGCAACCAACCAGGGGGAAGACUCUUCCGGGAGUAGAUGAUGCCGGCCCACGCCCGGGGGCUACUGUCGCACCGGUGGCACCCGGGGUACCACCGCUGCGCGACGCGUGGGCCUCGUCCCUGAGUUCCCGGGGAUGUGUCCCAUCCCGGGCAGCGGCUACGAGCGGCCCGGCAAGCUACCCCCGCCAAUGGUCAAAGGGUUGGAAUCUCAGUUGGUUCCGGUAGACGGUUGAGUUCGAUCAGUCCACGGUUAGCCUCUAGCAUUAGCAGAGAAUAGUAAGGAGUACCUAGCUAAAGGGAGAGAGUGCCCGGGAACUUACCCGGCAACCUGUAAACGCUUGAUUCACAACCAAUAUCAGCUCAGACAAGCAGCACGUAGGGUCUUACACCUCCGGGUGGUCCGAACCUAGGUAAAAAACGUGCGUGUAUCUGUUCUUUGGUUAGCGCGCACUUUUAGUACAUCAUUUUGCCGGCCCCGCAGGGCCUCAUCGGCCGAGCCGGCGAUCACCGGGGCGAACCCCGACGCCCCUAUCGAACCUAAAAGGGGGCCGUGACCGCACGCCCCCGGUGUCGGAGCACCGUGCGACGACAAAAUGCCUUUAGGGCUAUAUAACUAUUUAAAUAAAAUAGUUUUUCAACUCCAAAUAAAUAUCCAAAAAUUAAAUGAUAGCUUAAUUAUGCAAUAAAACCCCAUUUAUAGAUAAACCCUAUUGGUUUUAAGAUCCAAAGCUCAAAUGGGUGAAACCCUAGGGUUUAAAAUGAAAUAAAAACCUUUUUAAAGCCUUUUGAGAUUCAAAUUUGAAUUCAAAUAUGCAAUUGUGGCAUGAUGCUCAUGGAUGCAAUGCAUAUGAAAGGUUUUAGAAUUUUGGGAUGUUACAACCAUAGUUCGGGCGUUCCAUUUGGCAUAUCGCAUACACACUGGUGUUGUGUUUGGAGAUUUGUUGGUACUUUGCAUACAUAUAGGAUUGCGGCACUAGUCUGGAGUGGUCAUUCUGUGGACACUGAACCACUACCAGCUGUGCUCGCAACUCUUGAGUCCGUACGACGCUUCGGUCGGGCUCUCGUUUCAGAUUAGACUCAGUUGGGUGGUCCCCUGGAUUAGUUGUGGGGCUUGGAAACAUCGUGUCGCCCAAUCCUGCCGACACACGUCUUUGUGUGUUCCUACUUGAGUGGCAAUAAGGGUUGGACGAACGUGUACGGGUAUAUUGGCACACCCUGCAGGGAUAAAUCUUUCUAAAAGCCGUGUCCGCGGUUAUGGACGACUUGGUUGGUCAUUACUUGAUCAUAGAGAACUUAACCAACUUAAUCUCAAAAACUUGAGUAGUAAUUAGCCUUAAUCAUGGAUAUGCUUAAACUGCUUAAAGUGUGAGUGUCCUUUGGAUUGCUUCCUCACAGGGUGUUGAGGGGUGAUAUGAGGAUUGUGUUGUUUGGUGUUUAGUAAAUAGGUUAAUCACCUCACACUUCUCAUCCUCUACUUAGACGUUGUUAUUAGAGUGUCUCUCUAGAUUUUGUUGCUGCUGCAUAAACCCCACCAUAUCCCUCCUUUGAGACUUGUUGCAUAUUUAGUUUAGUUCUCCCCGUAAGUCUUGCGAGUACUUUGUACUCAGUUGCUUUGCAACGUUGUUUUCUUCAGAGGUUCCAACAGAGCAGGUGAGCCGCUAGCUUCUUCGGGGAGCAUGACGUUAGAUUCGAUGUUUUGCCAGGAGAUCCAGAUCAGGGUUCUGAGACUCGUGGCGGGUUUCCUUCCAGCUUCCAGCCUCUUCAGGCCAUGUUGUAUUCUUGUCCGUACUCGAGCAUAAUUCGACUUCCGCUGAUGUAAUGAUGUAAUGUUGGGACAUGUGUCCUCUCUUUGUAAUAAUUGUUAUUCUGCUCCUUGUAUGAGCUUUGUAAUUACUCUCUUCUAUAGAGUUUUGGUAAUGAUAUUCAUGUUGCAAAAUCCUGCGAUGAGCACAUUAAUGCAUGUAUGUAUUGAGGUGUUUAUCGUAGGUUAAAAACCUGAGGCUUGAAUUAUGCAAAGGUUAGCAAUCUGGGGCUAAAUUGUAUAAUUCCGGUCCCGGGGUCUUACAGACGUGAACCUCACUGCAAUGCUGCCGACAACAAUGAGGGACAAGACAACAAUGCCGCCACUAUGCAACAACUGUUAGCAGCCCAGACUCAGAUCCAACAAGCACUCACCCAGAAGAUGAACAACAAUCAGAACAACAACAACAACAACAACAACCAGCACCACAACCCGUUUUCUGAGGUUGCGCUCACCUACCUUCACCAACUCUUCUGAACCAAUAGUGGCUGAUGAUUGGCUCCGCUCUGUGAGCAAGUGGCUAGUAACUGUGGGCUGCACUGAGACAGAAAAAGUGAGGUGUGCCGCGCACUUACUCGAAGGACCGCCGCAGCUUGGUGGGAGACUUAUGAAAUCACCACCCCCAUGGAAGAGGUCACAUGGGAGAUGUUUCAGGAUGCUUUCCGCACCGCCCACAUCUCUGCAGGCGCGCUGAGCCUGAAGAAGAGAGAAUUCCACAAGCUGAGGCAAGGGAACCGCAUGGUGUCUGAAUACAUUGAGACAUUCAACAAGCUGUCUCGCUACGCUCCUGAUGACGUCAACACUGACGCCAAGCGUCGUGAGAGGUUUUUGGAUUGAUUGAACGACGAGCUGGCCGUUCAGUUAUCUGUUGUCUACAUACCUACUUACCAGUCUCUGAUGGACAAGGCUAUCAUCCUAGAGAAUAAGCAGAAUCAGAUGGAGAACCGAGGAAGAGGCCUCACCAUGGAAGUAACCACACUGGUUCACACCAGAAGCCGCGCACCUCUUAUGAGGGUAGUGGCAACUCAUCAAUGGUAAAGCAUGGGAACCACAACCAGAAUCACCAGGGAGGAAGUAGACAUCACCAACGCCAUGGAGGACAAGGACACAACCACCAGGAAAACAAUGGCAACAGGCACCACCAGCAUCACCAGCACCAACACUCACGUCAGAGGAACAACAAUGGGAAUGGCAAUGGCCGAAGCAAUGGAGGCAACCCAGGACAGAACCGCAACGCCAACAAGGACCUGAGCCAGGUGGAAUGUUUCAAGUGUCACAAGAUGGGACACUACUCCAAUGAAUGCCCAGAAAGGUUCGAAGGGAGUGGUGUUAAACCCAACUCGUUCCAGAAGGGCAACGUGAACUACAUCGGCAUGGAGGAGAUCACUGAGGAGAAAGGUAUCGUAAUCGGCACCUUUCACGUUAAUUCAUUUAAAGCACUCGUACUGUUUGAUACUGGUGCAUCGCAUUCUUUCAUAUCAAAGAGAUUCAUGGAUAGGAAUGAAUUACCGACUAGUACACUAGCGAACCCCAUGAAGGUGAAGUCACCAGGGGGAGAAAUGUUGGUUCUUUAUGAAUGUUGACUACUGACACUAGGAAUUGGAAAACACGGGUUCCCCACAAACCUGAUAGUGUUAGGAUCGAAGGGCUUGGAUGUAAUCCUAGGAAUGGAUUGGUUAGCCAAGUAUGAAGAACUCAUAGAUUGUGUCAGGAGGACAAUUACAAUCACAACCCCAGAAAAGAAGCGAAUCCGCUUCAAGUCAACCUAUGAACUUAAGAAACCCAAGGUAAAUUCUCUUAAGGGGGUUAGUCUAGAGGAUGUGCUGAUAGUGAAAGAAUCUCCGGAUGUGUUUCCAGAGGAAUUACCAGGCAUGCCACCUGACCGUGAUGUGGAAUUCCUUAUCGAGUUACUGCCUGGAAGUGGACCUAUAGCCAAGAGACCGUAUAAGAUGGCUGUGGACGAGUUAAAAGAAUUGAAGAAGCAACUCACAGAAAAGUUGUGUAAAGGCUUUAUUCGCCCUAGUUCAUCACCCUAGGGAGCACCUGUUGAUAUGGACAUGCUAACCAUGGAUAUGACCACUAGAACCCUAAUUGUUGGUGUCUCUAAUAAUUAUAAUCAGGUGAAUUCAAUUACAAAAUGUUUUCAAUAUGUUACUUGCAAAGAGGCGGAGCUACUAUCUUGUGUAAUCUUAUUAUGUAGGCAUCUUAUUGAACUUUACAAGUCCAAAGUGAAGAUGAAGUGUUAUAGCCUGCAAAGGGAGAUUCAAAGUGAAGCCUAUCAAGUGUACUUUCCAACAAAUCAAACGGCACAUGGUUCGGAGCUUGCUAGAGAAAGAUAUCACGAAUUAAAGUUGAAUCCGAUUCGGGUCCGAGCUGUCAGGAGACCCGAAUUUGUUUUAAUCACCCAGGCCGCAUCCGGAGUCCAAAUCAAGCAAACAAGUACUUGUUGGAAAGGUAAUUACAAGACCUUUCCAACGGAUCUGGCCCCAUCAAGAGAUUCGACUCGUGCUGACCGUGGCGGACAAAACAAGCUGACGGAUCUGUUUUUCUGUUUCCUAAAGAGUUGUAGUUUGUUAGGAAAGUUAGAGAUAGAGUUGGAUUUCGGACUCCUUAUUCAAGGUGGACGAAAAUAUCUCUCCCUCCUCCUUUAUAUACCCCAUGAGCCCCCCUAAGGAGCCUUGGGUUUUGUUUAGUUAAAAGUUAGCCAUUGCUACUACUUCGUGUAAUCGCGUGUGUCGGUUAGACCACCUGUUUUACCGCUUUCGGAACCCCAACUUAUCGUCUCGUUGAGACAUUGGUUUGAUAUAGUAUAUUCGCAAUUUUAGAUUGCAUCCGCUAUUUAUCUUGUUCUUGCUUGUUCUUCGAUUGUUUGCAGGAACAAAGACCUUCGUGGUCAGGUUGAUCGUGCCCCCGCGUGAUCAAUAACCCUCUGGAGUUGGUGUAUCGAUCGCUAAGGCGCUGCCUCCUAGGCCGUAGUCGGAUCGUCAACGUCACCUCCUACCCAAAUCGAGAGUUACCAAUCUCAUCGAAAGAUCGGGCCACCCGCACCCGUAUCACGUGGUAUCAGAGCCAGGUUGCUCGGUGAGAUUUUUCCAGUUUAUCCCUAGUUUAGAUCUGUUUUACCUAUCGUCCAGAAAAAGCCAAACAAAAAUUAGAAUUAGUUACCUUGUCCUAGAACCAAUCUGAGCCUUGCAAUUUUCACUUUAGUAUUUGCAUUGUUGAAUCUUUGCUGCAUUAAUCGUGUCGAGUUGCUGGAUUUGAUUGGAUCGUUUUUCAGAUUUUUUCUACUAGAUCGAACUUGCUUUUGGUUUUCUUGUUCUUCGUGUGACGCAGGUUUCCUUCAUCAAUCUUCCGCCGCCAAACUUCCUGCCACACCACCCCCAUAAUCUCCCGCCGCCACCAUAUCUUACACCGAGUCUCUCAUCGAGUCCUACACCGAGUCCCUCUUGGAGUCCUACACCGAGUCCCUCAUCGAGUCCUACACCGAGUCCCUCUUGGAGUCCUACACCGAGUCCCUCAUCGAGUCCUACACCGAGUCCCUCAUCGAGUCCUACACCCAGUCCCUCUUCGAGUCCUACACCGAGUCCCUCGUCGAGUCCUACACCGUGUCCUACAUCGAGUUCUACAUUGAGUCGGCAAGUUAUAGUUUUCAGCCGCAAGUUCGAGUCCGAGUCUAAUCAAGAGUGCUUUUGGAAAGUUUUCAUAAUAGAUCGAAUUUUGUUUAGAGAUCAAGUUGUUCGGAAAGUUGUCAAAAAAAAAAGGAAAGAAAAAAAAAACGAAAAAAAAAAAGAGAAAGAGUUCGAGUCAGUUUCGGACCCGAGUCCGAGUAGAAUUUUAGUUUCGGGUGGGUUUGACCCGUGUUCAGUAAAACGGGCGUAUCUUUUGCGUAUCAACUCGGAUUUGGACGUUCUCAGACUUUUUGGAAAGCUCACGACGAGGCGCAUCAGGAAAUAUCCAUGGCUUUGCCCUGCACUUUGACCCUCAAAUUCGGUUUGUAAGGUGGACUUUCGGAGCUUCCAAGUUUCUGCAUCCGUUUUCCGGCGUCGCUGCAGCCCGGUGUUUCUCAGUUUCCUCCACCGUCCGACAUCCGUUUUCAGUGAUCUUGCCCUUGCUAGAAAUCUUGUGUCGAUACGCUUCUAACCCAUAUUUUUCCAUAUUUUUCUGAAAUUUUCUUACUACAGUCUUUGCUGUUCUUCGACAGACCGACGUACAUUUUUCCGGUCCUUCUUUUGCGUGAGUUUCUGGGGUUAAAAAAAAAAGAAAAAAAAAAGAAGAAGAAAAGAAUAAGAAGCCAAACAGAAGGCCACAAAAAGAAAAAAAAAGAAAAAAAAAUCCCAGGGAUUUACUUGUUGUGCCAUCUUUUGAUCUAUCUAUUCCUACCUUCUGCAGUAUCUAGGCUUAGAUUAUUUCUGUAAUUCGUUCUUAUCGACUCCAGCAGCUAGGACUAGCAUUAUUGAGCAUAUUUUCAACUUUGCAUUGCUGAUUUGAUUAUUUGCUAUUCCUUGCUACUCACAAAAGCCUCCAAGCUCCACAGAUUCUACACCUAGGUUGGUUUGUUACCGAGGCAUCGAUACAUUUAAUCUUCGGAGGGCUUGGUCACGCCGCUGGCCAUCACCUUCCUGUUUUGCAUGGUAAGAACUUGAUUUUUAGCUUGAGAGUUGUGCGACUUGUAGCCACAUCCUAGUAGUUGAUACGAACAUAUUACUGUGAUUUGUUUCUUGUUUUCUACUAACCAUGACAGGACUUACACGAAGCAUGGCAACUAGACCGAUGCUAUCCCGUGACCGUGAUGAGUGCUUUUCACCACGGCCAUCCUCCACGUCUCUUGUUGAUAAUGCCACGGCAACGGUACAAAACAAUCCUUCUAAUACAAUUAAAUUGUGUGUACCUUUCUUUGAGGGGGAAAAUGAUGCUGAAACGUAUAUAGAUUGGGAGCUAGCUUUAACUGCACAAUUCACAUGCUUCCAUGUACUUGAUAGUCGCAAGGUUCAAAUUGCUAGUAGUAAAUUUACAUUUGCUGCUUUAUCUUGGUGGAAUGAGAUAGUUAGAGAAAAGAAAAUUCCCCACACUUGGGUUGAUAUGAAGAAAAUCAUGAGAAUAAUAUGUCCCUUUUAGUUAUGCUUUUAACUUGCGUUCAAAAUUAUGACGUUUGGCACAAGAUGAUAAAACUGUUGAUGAUUACUACAAUGAGUUCCAAAUUAUAACCUUGCGAUCUGGUUUAGAUGAAACCGAACAAAGAAAAAUGGAUAGGUUUUAUUGUGGGCUUAACUUUGAUAUUUCUUACAUGAUUGAAUAUGGAAAAUACGACUCUCUUUUGUGUUUGCUUAAUCUUGCUCGUAAAGUUGAGAGGAAAUUACAGCGAGGGUCUACUACAAAUGAGUCGAGCCCACAAGGUAGUGAUACAGAGGAUUGUGUUGCUGAACUAAAAAGGGCAUGUGAUGAAAUAAAUGUGAUACCUGUUGAAUUUUCUGCACCAUGUGAAAUUAUUGUCGUACAUGGUGAUUCAAGUGCACCUACUGCUGAAAUUAAUUCUUCUAAUGAUUUGAGUGCACAAAUUAAUUUUGAUAUUGAUGAGAACGAAUCAUGUGAGGAAAUAACUAAUGUUUUGGGAGAAGCAAGUGAGAUAGAUAAAUUUGAUUUAGGUUGUGUCGAGUUGAUUAGACAUGGAGUGAUUGAUAAAGAUCCACCUAUUAAUUCUUUGUGUUAUAUUACACUUGAUACACCUAUAUAUUUGUCACAUGCAAUGGAUAAAGUUUCUGAGUUAACAAUUUCAAAAUCUUUUGCUAAUGCCCAUGCAUACACUAUUCAAUUAAUUGGAGAACAUGAUGUCAACAAUAAAGUUUUGGUGCAUCAGAUUUGCAUUGCUUGUGAUAACUUUCUUGAUUUGAGAGAAAAUAAUAUGUUGCAUAUGCUUAACCAUUUUGAUAUGACCUCCAAUAUUGGUGUUGAUUAUUUGCCAAUUAGUUCUUUACACGAUUGUUUGAAUAUUAGUGCUUUGACAUGCUCUAAAUUUCAGCAUCUUGUAAUAACUAAUUUGGGUAACAUUAUUAAUUAUUAUUCUCCAGUGUUGGGAUGGUAUAAUGGUGAGCGGUGCAAACCAAAUACAAGAUAUUGUUUCACUUAUAUAUGCAAAACAUAUUGUCAAUCUUCUUGCUGGAAUGAUAUUCAUGAUGAUUGUGUGACUAAUUAUCUCAUGAGAUUGUGUUAUAAAACAUUAAUUGUGCAACAUGGGAGUGGAGUUAAAAAUAACGAUAUAUACAUAUACCAUGUGCAUACCUUGUCUCUUUUGUUAGCAUAUUUUCAGCAUAAACGACGCCGAGGACGGCUUUCCUUUCAAGAAAGGGAGGAUGAUAUGGACAUGCUAACCAUGGAUACGACCAUUAGAACCCUAAUUGUUGGUGUCUCUAAAGUUAUAAUCAGGUGAAUUCAAUUACAAAAUGUUUUCAAUAUGUUACUUGCAAAGAGGCGGAGCUACUAUCUUGUGUAAUCUUAUUAUGUAGGCAUCUUAUUGAACUUUACAAGUCCAAAGUGAAGAUGAAGUGUUAUAGCCUGCAAAGGGAGAUUCAAAGUGAAGCCUAUCAAGUGUACUUUCCAACAAAUCAAACGGCACAUGAUUCGGAGCUUGCUAGAGAAAGAUAUCACGAAUUAAAGUUGAAUCCGAUUCGGGUCCGAGCUGUCAGGAGACCCGAAUUUGUUUUAAUCACCCAGGCCGCAUCCGGAGUCCAAAUCAAGCAAACAAGUACUUGUUGGAAAGGUAAUUACAAGACCUUUCCAACGGAUCUGGCCCCAUCAAGAGAUUCGACUCGUGCUGACCGUGGCGGACAAAACAAGCUGACGGAUCUGUUUUUCUGUUAGCUAAAGAGUUGUAGUUUGUUAGGAAAGUUAGAGAUAGAGUUGGAUUUCGGACUCCUUAUUCAAGGUGGACGAAAAUAUCUCUCCCUCCUCCUUUAUAUACCCCAUGAGCCCCCUAAGGAGCCUUGGGUUUUGUUUAGUUAAAAGUUAGCCAUUGCUACUACUUCGUGUAAUCGCGUGUGUCGGUUAGACCACCUGUUUUACCGCUUUCGGAACCCCAACUUAUCGUCUCGUUGAGACAUUGGUUUGAUAUAGUAUAUUCGCAAUUUUAGAUUGCAUCCGCUAUUUAUCCGCUAUUUAUACCCCAUGAGCCCCCCUAUGGAGCCUUGGGUUUUGAUUAGAUAAAGUUUAGCCUUUGCUACUUUCGUGUAAUCGCGUGUGUCGGUUAGACCACCUAUUUUACCGUCAUCAAGACUCCAACUAUAUUGAGUAUUCAGAUUCGUGAACCUUCAUAUCUCCUAUUCGCAAUUUCAGAUUGCUUUUCAUCUUGUUCUUGCUUGUUCUUCGAUUGCUUGCAGGAACAAAGACCUUCGUGGUCAGGUUGAUCGUGCCCCCGCGUGAUCAAUAACCCUCUGGAGUUGGUGUAUCGAUUGCUAAGGCGCUGCCUCCUAGGCCGUAGUUGGAUCGUCAACGUCACCUCCUACCCAAAUCGAGAGUUACCAAUCUCAUCGAAAGAUCGGGCCACCCGCACCCGUAUCACCUGUUCUAUUUGUGGAAAAGAAGGACAAGAGCCAACGGAUGUGCAUAGAUUAUCGUUCACUAAAUGAGGUGAUGAUAAAGAAAAAAUACCCCUUACCUAUAAUCAAUGAUCUAUUCGAUCAAUUGAAAGGAGCCUGUGUAUUCUCAAAGAUCGAUCUUCGAUCGGGUUAUUUUCAGUUAAAGAUCCGAGAAGCGGAUAUACCCAAGACAGCCUUUACCACUAGAUAUGGCCUGUAUGAGUAUACGGUGAUGCCUUUUGGAUUGACCAACGCACCGGCAUACUUUAUGAAUAUGAUGAAUAAAGUGUUCAUGGAAUAUUUGGACAAGUUUGUCGUAGUGUUCAUCGACGACAUUUUGAUUUACUCGAAGAGCAAAGAAGAACAUGAAGUACAUUUGCGUCUGAUUAUGGAAAAGCUCAGAGAACACAAGCUUUAUGCCAAAUUCAGCAAGUGUGAAUUUUGGUUGUCCGAAGUAGGUUUCUUGGGACACAUAGUGUCAGGAGACGGAGUUGCUGUUGACCCAGCUAAAGUAGCAGCGGUAACAGAAUGGGAAGCCUCUAAGAACGUCGGUGAUGUUCGCAGUUUCUUAGGACUUGCUGGAUGGAUACUAUAGGAGGUUCAUUGAGAAUUUUUCCAAGAUAGCAAAACCCAUGACUGAACUUUUGAAGAAAGAGAAGAAAUUUGAGUGGUCUGAUAAGUGUGAAGAAAGUUUUCAAGAAUUGAAGAAGAGAUUACUGUCUGCACCCAUCCUUGUUUUACCCAACUUGCUAGAAGAUUUCGAAGUGUACUGUGACGCCUCGCGUCUAAAAUUGGGCUGUGUUUUGAUGCAAGAAGGAAGAGUUGUGGCAUACGCCUCACGACAACUUAAGAGUCACGAAGGAAAUUACCCCACUCAUGAUUUGGAAGUAGCAUCUGUAGUGCACGCACUAAAAACUUGGAGGCACUAUCUCAUGGGAAAGCAUUGUGAAUUAUUCACCGAUCACAAGAGCUUGAAAUAUAUAUUCACGCAGAAGGAAUUGAACUUGAGACCAAGAAGAUGGUUAGAGUUAAUCAAGAAUUAUAAUUUGAAUCUGCAAUACCACCCAGGCAAGGCUAAUGUAGUAGCCGACGCUUUAAGCCGUAAAGGCUAUGUCAAUGGUCUUACAGCUGGAGAGUUACCCUCCGAGUUGUGCGAACAAUUCAAGGACUUCAGAUUGGAGAUAGUCCUGGAAGGUUAUCUGGCUAACUUGGAAGUACAACCCACCUUGUUGGACAGAAUUAGAGAAGCCCAGAAAGGCGACUCCGAAAUUAAGUAGAUAAAGGAUAAUAUGGUUGCCGGAAAGGCGAAAUGAUUCAUUGAGGAUGACCAAGGUACCAUAUGGUUUGAGAAAUGUAUUUGUGUACCACAGGACCCUGAGAUCAGAAAGUUUAAUACUUCAAGAGGCUCACGAUUCACCGUACUCGAUUCACCCUGGGAACACAAAAAAGUACAUGGACUUGAAAGAAAGAUUUUGGUGGACAGGGUUGAAGCGAGAUAUCGCUGAGUCUAUUGCUCUAUGUGAUGUAUGUAACAAAGUCAAGGCUGAACAUCAGAAACCAGCUGGAGUACUACGACCAUUGCCAGUGCCAAACUGGAAAUGGGAUAAAGUAGGCAUGGAUUUCAUCACCGGCUUGCCGAGGACAAGGUCUGGUUAUGAUUCGAUAUGGGUAGUAGUUGACCGUUUGACAAGGGUUGCUCAUUUCAUACCUGUGAAGACCACUUAUACAAGUGCUCAGUUGGCCAAACGCUACAUGCCUAGAAUUGUGUGCCUACAUGUUGAUAUGGACAUGCUAACCAUGGAUACGACCAUUAAAACCCUAAUUGUUGGUGUCUCUAAUAACAAUUAUAAUCAGGUGAAUUCAAUUACAAAAUGUUUUCAAUAUGUUACUUGCAAAGAGGCGGAGCUACUAUCUUUACAAGUCCAAAGUGAAGAUGAAGUGUGAUAGCCUGCAAAGGGAGAUUCAAAGUGAAGCCUAUCAAGUCUACUUUCCAACAAAUCAAACUGCACAUGAUUCGGAGCUUGCUAGAGAAAGAUAUCACGAAUUAAAGUUGAAUCCGAUUCGGGUCCGAGCUGUCAGGAGACCCGAAUUUGUUUUAAUCACCCAGACCGCAUCCAGAGUCCAAAUCAAGCAAACAAGUACUUGUUGGAAAGGUAAUUACAAGUCCUUUCCAACGGAUCUAGCCCCAUCAAGAGAUUCGACUUGUGCUGACUGUGGCGGACAAAACAAGCUGACGGAUCUGUUUUUCUGUUUCUUAAAGAGUUGUAGUUUGUUAGGAAAGUUAGAGAUAGAGUUGGAUUUCGGCCUCCUUACUCAAGGUGGACGAAAAUAUCUCUCCCUCCUCCUUUAUAUACCCCAUGAGCCCCCUAAGGAGCCUUGGGUUUUGAUUAGAUAAAGUUUAGCCAUCUUUGCUACUUUCGUGUAAUCGUGUGUGUCGGUUAGACCACCUGUUUUACCGUCGUCAAGACUCCAACUUAUCGUCUCGUUGAGACAUUGGUUUGAUAUAAUAUACUCACAAUUUUAGAUUGCAUCCGCUAUUUAUCUUGUUCUUGCUUGUUCUUCGAUUGCUUGCAGGAACAAAGACUUUCGUGGUCAGAUUGAUCGUGCCCCCGCGUGAUCAAUAACCCUAUGGAGUUGGUGUAUCGAUUGCUAAGGCGCUGCUUCCUAGGUCGUAGUCGGAUCGUCAACGUCACCUCCUACCCAAAUCGAGAGUUAGCAAUCUCAUCGAAAGAUCGGGCCACCCCGACCCACAUCACGUGGUAUCAGAGCUUAAGGUUGCUCGGUGAGAUUUUUCCAGUUUAUCCGUAGUUUAGAUCAAUUUUUACCUAUCGUCCAGAAAAAGCCAAACAAACAUUAGAAUUAGUUACCUUGUCCUAGAGCCAAUCUGAGCCUUGCAAUUUUCACAUUAGUAUUUGCAUUGUUGAAUCUUUGUUGCAUUAAUCGUGUCGAGUUGCUGGAUUAGAUUGGAUCGUUUUUCAGAUUUUUUCUACUAGAUCGAACUUGUUUUUGGUUUUCUUGUUCUUCGUGUGAGGCAGGUUUCCUUCAUCAAUAUUCCGCCGCCAAACUUCCUGCCACACCACCGCCAUAAUCUCCCGUCGCCACCAUAUCUUCCACCGAGUCCUUCUUCGAGUCCUACACCGUGUCCCUCGUCAAGUCCUACACCGUGUCCCUCUUCGAGUCCUACAUCGAGUCGGCAAGUUAUAGUUUUCAGCCGCGAGUCCGAGUCCGAGUCCAAUCAAGAGUGCUUUUGGAAAAUGUUUCAUAAUAGAUCGAAUUUUCUUUAGAGAUCAAGUUGUUCGGAAAGUUGUGAAAAAAAAGAAAGGAAAGAAAAUAAAAGGAAAGAAAGAAAAAAAAAACGAAAAAAAAGAGAAAGAGUUCGAGUCAGUUUCUCGGACCCGAGUCCGAGUAGAAUUUUAGUUUCGGGUGGGUUUGACCCGUGUUCAGUAAAACGGACAUAUCUUUUGCGUACCAACUCGGAUUUGGACGUUCUUGGACUUUUUGCAAAGCUCACGACAAGGUGCAUCAGGAAAUAUCCAGGAGUUUGCCCUGCACUUUGACCCUCAAAUUCGGUUUAUAAGGUGGACUUUCGGAGCUUCCAAGUUUCUGCAUCCGUUUUUCGGCGUCGCUGCAGCCCGGUGUUUUUCAGUUUUCUCCACCGUCCGACAUCCGUUUUGAGUCAUCUUGCCCUUGCUGGAAAGUUUGUGUCGAUACGCUUCUAACCCAUAUUUUUCCAUAUUUUUCUGAAUUUUCCUUACUGCAGCCUUUGCUGUUCUUCGAUAGACCGACAUAUAAUUUUCCGGUCCUUCUUUUGCGUGAGUUUCUGAGGUUAAAAAAAAGAAAAAAGAAUAAGAAGCCAAACAGAAGGCCACAAAAAGAAAAAGAAAAAAAAUCCCAGGGAUUUACUUGUUGUGCCAUCUUUUGAUCUAUCUAUUUCUACCUUUUUCAGUAUCUAGGCUUAGAUUAUUUCUGUAAUUCGUUUUUUUCGACUCCAGCAGCUAGGACUAGCAUUAUUGAGCAUAUUUUCAACUUCGCAUUGCUGAUUUGAUUAUUUGCUAUUCCUUGCUACUCACAAAAGCCUCCAAGCUCCACAGAUUCUACACCUAGGUUGUUUGUUACUGAGGCAUCGAUACAUUUAAUAUUCGGAGGGCUUGGUCAUCCCGCUGGCCAUCACCUUCCUGUUUUGCAUGGUAAGAACUUGAUUUUUAGCUUGAGAGUUGAGCGACUUGUAGCCAAUAAUUGUUGAUAGGAACAUAUUCCUGUGUUUUGUUUCUUGUCUUAUACCUAACCAUGACAGGACUUACACGAAGGAUGGAAAAUACGCUUAUGCUAUCAAGCGACCGACAUGAGCGUUUUUCACCACAUCCAUCCUCCUCGUCUCUUGUUGACAUUGGCAAGGCAAAGGUAUAUCGCAAUCCUUGUAAUGUCAAUAAUUGUUUUGGACCUUUCUUUGAUGGAAAGAAUGAUGUUGAAGCUUAUAUUGAUUAGGAAAUAGCUCUAAUUGAGCAAUUCACAUGCUUCCAUGUACUAGAUAGUCGUAAGGCCCAAAUUGCUAGUAGUAGAUUUCGUUUUGAUGCAUUAUCAUGGUGGAGUGAGAUAGUUAGAGAAAACAAAAUACCUCACACUUGGAUUUAUAUGAAGAAAAUCAUGAGAGAAAAAUAUUUUCCUCCAAGUUAUGCUUAUGAGUUGCGUUCCAAAUUACGACGUUUGACACAAGAUGAUACACCAACUCCACAGGGUUAUUGAUCACACGGGGGCACAAUCAACCUGACCACGAAGGUCUUUGUUCCUGCAAGCAAUCGAAGAACAAGCAAGAACAAGAUAAAUAGCAGAUGCAAUCUAAAAUUGCGAGUAUACUAUAUCAAACCAAUGUCUCAAUGAGACGAUAAGUUGGAAUCUUGACGACGGUAAAACAGGUGGUAUAACCGACACACGCAAUUACACGAAAGUAGCAAAGAUGGCUAAACUUUAUCUAAUCAAAACCCAAGUCUCCUUAGGGGGGCUCAUGGGGUAUAUAAAGGAGGAGGGAGAGAUAUUUUCGUCCACCUUGAGUAAGGAGGCUGAAAUCCAACUCUAUCUCUAACUUUCCUAACAAACUACAACUCUUUAAGAAACAGAAAAACAGAUCUGUCAGCUUGUUUUGUCCGCCACAGUCAGCACGAGUCGAAUCUCUUGAUGGGGCCAGAUCCGUUGGAAAGGACCUGUAAUUACCUUUCCAACAAGUACUUGUUUGCUUGAUUUUGACUCCGGAUGCGGCGUGGGUGAUUAAAACAAAUUCGGGUCUCCUGACAGCUCGGACCCGAAUCGGAUUCAACUUUAAUUCGUGAUAUCUUUCUCUAGCAAGCUCCGAAUCAUGUGCCGUUUGAUUUGUUGGAAAGUAGACUUGAUACGCUUCACUUUGAAUCUCCCUUUGCAUGCUAUCACACUUCAUCUUCACUUUGGACUUGUAAAGUUCCAUAAGAUGCCUACAUAAUAAGAUUACACAAGAUAGUAGCUCCGCCUCUUUGCAAGUAACAUAUUGAAAACAUUUUGUAAUUGAAUUCACCUGAUUAUAAUUGUUAUUAGAUACACCAACGAUUAUGGUUCUAAUGGUCGUAUCCAUGGUUAGCGUGUCCAUAUCACAAAGCCCCGUGCUACGACAUCUGGCGCGCCAAGCAGGGGGCACAUGAGGAGAGCUCGCCGGUGACCGCCGGUGCCGUCGUCUAUGUCGACAUCAGCCUUGUCUACUCCAACAGCGGAGCCAACCACCAUGCCCCCUAAGCGGGCUAGUGACCCCCGGAUCGAUCCGCGUGAAGCCCCAGCGGCACACACGCGGUCGCAUGACGCGCAGCCCGCUUCACGGGCUCAGGAAAAUCCUGAGCCCUCACGAGCGCAGCAGUCGCCGCUGCCCCCCCCCCCCGCCUCCUCGGCCGUCGGUAGACAACCGGCUGAGGGGGCCGGCGGCUCCCAGUUGUAAGACCCCGGGACCGGAAUUAUAAAAUUUAGGCCCAAAUUGCUAACCUUUGCAUAAUUCAAGCCUCAGGUUCUUAACCUACGAUAAACACCUCAAUACAUACACGCAUUAAUGCGCUCAUCGCAGGAUUUUGCAACAUGAAUAUCAUUACCAAAACUCUACAGAAGAGAGUAAUUACAAAGCUCAUACAAGGUGAUACGGGUGCGGGUGGCCCGAUCUUUCGAUGAGAUUGGUAACUCUCGAUUUGGGUAGGAGGUGACGUUGACGAUCCGACUACGGCCUAGGAGGC